AACGCUCAGCCUUCAGCCCAUAUGCUUCUUUUUCGUCACAUGUUGCUUCAAGCGAGAAUGAACCAUAGCUCAUGUUGCUGUAGCUUACCAUCUAUGAAAUACCAUUUAGAAGGUGCAGCCCUCGUCCUGGGGAUCACACAAAAACUUAUGUACAUUAUAUUUUGGUGACAGUCUGACAGAUUUUGCCUGCAGGUAUUAAGCCUAACGUUUCUUAUUGAUGUUGAAGAAGGAUAAGCGUUUUUUUUUUUUUUUUUUUGGACAACUAUAGUUAUACAAAUAAUUUUAGAGAUCAUAACAUUUAAAUUUCGACUUGACUCUUAAUGUCAUGUGUUACUCAUUUAUUAGAUGAUGAAUUUUAUAAUUUGUAAAAUUAAUUAACCAUCAUUCAAUGAAAGAAUCUCACACAAACUCAAAUUAGAACUUAAAUUUUGAAAUGCCUAAUAUUACUUAUAACUAUAAUUAGUGUACUAAGAAUGUCAUAAGUUCCCUAUACUUCUUGUUGGAUUUUAGACCUUAAAUUGGUGUUUGUUGUAGAGAAAUGCUAGUUUUACACAUAAUUAAAUUAUUAUUAUUUUUAUUGUCAUAGGGCAUUUGAUCGAGUGGUUUUUAAACUAUUUUAUUUGAUUAAGUGCCAGAUCUCAAGUCCCUGAGCAGUAGGGAUUAUUUGGAUAUUCUCACUUCCUAUCUUUUCAGAAAGGGCAAAAAGAAAACUUGCUUAGCGAAGCUUAACUACUGCUGUUAAUAUUCUAGCCAUUUAAUAAACUUAUGCCCAUUGUUUGGAAAACAAAAAAAUACAAUUAUUUUUCGAAGAAUAUAAGCAUGAAGAAAACUGAAAUUAAGAAUGAAAUUAGAGAGGUUCAAAAGGCAUAUAUAUGAAUUAAACUGAAGUUGAUUAUAAUAAGGGUUAAUAUCAUCAUUUGCAAAGAACAAUAACCAAAAUAAGAAGCUAAUUUAAAGUUUCUUAACAACUAGCUCUAAAGAAAGACAAGUGCAGCAAAUUAAAGAUGUUUAAUUAAACCUCUCCAAUCUUAAACAUAAGUAGUUGAGGUGCCGAAUAUGUUUGGAUCGAUCCAGUACCGUAAGUAACAAGGCAGCUUCUUCUAAUUAAGCAUGUCGUCCCGUCUGGUUAUUUCCGCUUGCCAGAACGCAACCUCACCCAUGAUCACAUAAUUAUCCACCAACAAAACAAUCGUUGCCAAGGUCAUAAUCAAGCUAUCAUCAGACUGUCCGUGCUCUCCGCGGACGGCAGCUGCUAUAACCUCGUGAUAAAUCCAUGACAUUGCAACACCAUUUUCCAUCAAGAAACGAUGUGCGGGACCCAAAUCUGCACUACGAAAAGCACCACGAAAGAAGUUGAGCAGCAAAGGUAUGUAAAUCGAGAGAAGAAAAUAAUACGCAUUGAUGCUUAAAGAGAGCAGAACGCCGGCCCGCCUGCUUUGUGUGCAGAGAUGAGAUAAAGCUACUACGUAUUGUGCCCAGUAAAAGAUCGAAGAAGCUGAUUCGAUUCUGAUGCUGAAUCCCCAGACCAAGACUAAGGUUGGAGCAAGGGUUGCUAUGCCUGCAUAUUCAGAGCCCAAAACCUCCGCGAACAAGAUCAUCCAGCUGUUUAAGUUUGUGAUGAGCAUCAUUGUUAACAAAGAUGACAUGUCGGGAAGAAGCUCAUGAUUGUGGGUUGGCCAAAUAGGCAUUUUCCCUCUUUUUUGUAAAUUUUUUUCUCGGUAUUGUAUGUAACUUGUCUGUUUGGCUUCUGGGAAAACAAAUAUGAGAGGAGAAAGUGAUUGGAGAAAAUUAAGCUGAAUUACAUGAUGAGGGUUGAGGCAGUCCAAACCAUGUGCUUCUACUCUGUUAGUGCAUUUACCUAUCUCAUAUAACAAAUGGAAAUGGCAGAGAAUUCAAAUUAAAGCUGCACAAAAUGGGAAACUGAGGUAUAAAGUGCUGGGUGGAAGUGACAAAUUAAGGAAUUUUAAAGGUCAUAGUCAUCUCAAUUUAUAGACUUCAUUAAUGCCAAUAUCUUAUUAAUUUCUGAAGUUGAAAAUUAACAUAUCGUUGACGAUGUUGAGCUGUACAAAGCUCGUUACUCAUUCCAGUCACUUUAUUUCUCAAAUUUAUGAUCUUUCAAAAUCUUCUCAACUCCCACUGUUAUUGCUGUUUUUUCUGUUGAUCAAUUAAAAUUCAUUUCUUCUGUUUGAAUGCAGGCACAUUUAUUUUUCAUCAAUUUUUUUUAUUUACGCAUAUCUAUAUUUUGAGUAAUUGUAAAAAAUUAUGUAUGGGAAUUAAGAAUUAUUGUUAUGUUAUUAACCAAACUCUCAAGAUUUUAAAUGCAGUGGAAAGUUUUGUAUGUUUCAAUUUUAUUUUUAUCAAUAUUUUUUUGGAGAAACAAUUGUUGAAAAAAAAAAGUAAAAUAAGAGAGCGAGAAACUUUUGCCAAAAAUUGAAAAGGAGACUUGUACUCCAAGUUAUUGCUAUAUGCCCACACAUAACACAAGCGUAAUGUAUAUCUCCAUAAUUAAAUGAUGAAUGAUUAUUCACGUCUCUUGUAGAAGAUGAAAAAUUCAAGAACAUACCAAUAAGUUUGAAAGAAGAAAUACUGAUUAGAUGUGAAGAUGAUCGGUGUGAACUUAAACGUGUUAUUGGAUCGUUUGAAAUCUUGUGUUGCGAAGAUGGAUAAAAUAUUGAAGCUAAUCACGUCGAUGAGUGAACAUGAUAAAAUAAUCAGUGUUCAAGACCAUUUGAGCAUUUUACAGUUUAAAUGCAUAGAGAAAUUGUAUGAUGAAUGGAGUGAUGAUGCGAUAGAGGCAUCGAUUAAUAAACUAAGGUUACUUGAUUUUAACCUAAAAAAGACUCACUUGCCUUUUGAACUUUGUAAAGGCUAAUAUUUAACAUUUAAUUUCUCCAAUAUUUUAAUAGUACAUUUGUCUAUAUCUACAAGUGAGGUUUAUCAUGAAUAUAGAUUUUUAAAUUGUAAGAACCAUGAUUUUAUAGUAAAAAAAAAAAAAAAAAGAACACAACGAACGACAAAAAUAGAUAAUGAACACAUAUUCUUUUAAAAAAUUUAAAUAAUUUAUGUCUAAAAAAAUAACAAUCAUAACAAGAUCAUGUUCUUUUUACCUACUCACAAUCAAUAAUUUUAUGCAUUCUAAUAAAAUAGUAAUAAUUAAGUAAAAUAAAAAUAAAAUAAGCUCAUGAUCAACACCAACUACCAACAGAGACAACAAAUAUUUUGUGAUAGAUUGUGGACAAAAUAACGUAUAUCAUAAAAGCAUGCGAACUCGUGAUGGAAUUACAGUUUAUGAAGGAUUAAUGACCAACUUUGUGAUAGAAUUAUUGACAAUCACGAACUUAAGAUAUGGUCUAAGACAAAAAAUUAUAUUAACUAUUAUUUAAAAAUAAGAAAUGAAACGGUGCGUUUAUGUAGUGCUCGAGUAAAAACACUCCGGUAUUUUCCAAGUCUAAACACAGUCAUCCUCACGAUAACGGGUCACAGCCUCACUAUUAAAUCAUAAACUCAAACCCUCACUCGAUCAUUCAAAUUUCUAUGACGUCACUGCGUAUAUUACAAAGCAAAGAGAGUUACCAUAUUGCUAUCGUUCAGACCUCAAUGUUGCCGCCGUUGUGCCAAUCAUCUAUCGGAGUUCUUGGCGAAGAGUGGUCGGGAUUUGCUCCCCGGUCGCUGGAGGCCCCAACACUGGUGAGAUUCGAUGUGACACAGUGGAAUUAGCUGUGAACCGAUGAGUUAGUGGUGGCCAGGGUUUCACUUUCGUUUCCCCCAAACCAGUUUUCUUCCCAAUUCCCCAUAUGCCCCUCAUGUAGUGUCAUAUUAUUAAUCGAUGGUUCAUGUUCUUUCAUUUCUAUUUCAUAACAAAUUACUUUUAAAUUUAUAAUUUAACUUGGUAAUUAAAUAUUUAUUCGUUUAAUUGUUGCAAUUCGAGCUGGAUUAUGAGCUGAUGGGUUCCCUCGAUGAGAAUUCAGCUCAGUCUCUUGAUCAACUAUGGGACCUCACAGUAAUACCAACUUAUUCAGCCUUUUCUUUUGUCCAUAACAUACGAAAAGGAACUUGCUAACCUCCCCGUUCAAUUUGACAUUUUUGUUAAAACCUGGAUUUUAUUAAUUUUUAUUAUUUGUAUAUGUGCCCUAUGGUGGAGUUACUGAAGAGUUGAAAGGCAGUUGUUAGAAAACAAAAAAUUAAUAUUCAAUUCCUUAGUUCAUCCUUGACUUGGCUUCCAUGGCUUUUUGCACAAACCAUGCUUGACUAUCGAAAUUAAGGAAUUAGGUUGGAUAAUGCUUAGAUGGUCAAUAAUUAGCCAAACAAGACAAGUAAUAUCCAUUGGUUGAUGAUGCGUGAUUACUGGAUGGGUCAUCUUAAUAAUAGUGCCUUUGAUAUUAGGUGUACUUUCUUAUUUGUUUUGGACUCAUCCAGGGACCAGAAGGCAGAGGCUGAGACUAAGCCUUUUAUGAAAAAUUCUCUGUCCUAGGUUAAGUUUGGCACUAUUGUGCCGAGUAAGUUGCAUUAAUUUCUUUCACUCUCUGUGUUUUUGAUUCCUUGAUCAGUUUUCAAUAUGCAAAGCACUGAACUUAAAUUUCUGUGACUGUGUGGUAGAUUGACUUGAGUGGAAAUUUGCUUUCAAAUUAGAAGGUUUGCGUUCGUACAUUUUACAAUUUGUAAGAGCUGCUCCAAAUAUGUUUUGAUCUGUACUCUCUCUUUCGCCUUUGUCUUUCUUGUCAUACAUAAGCACAAAAAUUAUUAUCAUCUAUGUGCAUUGAAGGAGCUUUAGCUUUAAAUUUAUUAGCUACAAAACCUGCGUUUUCUGCUAGAUAACCUUUUAAAAAGCACGGUCAUAUUUAGCAUGACAUCGAUGCACAUAACUGGCUUUUUAGUCUUUCAAUAAAUUCUAAAUUUCUCAAAGCUAAAUGCAAUAGGUGAUCUCUAUUGGUUUGUUUGAGUUUCUCUGAUUAAACUUACUCUCCUUUUUACUGUAAAAUGGAAAUGAAAAAUCUCUUGAGUGCGCUGAGAUUUCCUACAAUUGGGUUCUUAAGUCAAGGCGUUGUUGAAUGAAAUGAAAUUCGCUGGUGGUGCAGUGCAUGCCAGAACAACUAAGCCUACUUCUACUCUUUAGUGGUGCAUCUACUGAAGUUUCAUUAUUACUGAUAGUGGAGAGCUGAGACAAAUUGGUCGAAAGUAGAUGUAUAAUUUCUUAGCAAUGUUUUGGUUCAUGCUUUGAUAUUUUCAUUUGUUUGGUAUUUCUUGAGAUUACUAUUAUUAAUAUAUUGGUAAAUGAUGUUGAUUAUUGCUAUAAACCACUAUUUGUGAGUAUACAUUAAGUGAUUGCUCUACAUAUGUUUUUCGUUUAAAAGAAAUGAUAGUUUAUAUAUACAAGCUUCUUUUUUUCUAUAUUUAAAAAUUUUAUAUCAUCAUUGUGGUUUAAUUAUGAAUUCUUUGCAGAAGGAUUUUAGCGCUGGAAUUUGGUGGACAUUGAUUUUUGGCACAGGUACUUUGCUGCUGGUGAUUACUCAUGUUGGGAUAUGGGGUUGAUGUAUUUUGAAAAUACUUCAAAAUACAUGUAUUUUGUUGUUUAUUUUUAUAGGAGGCAACACCAUAAUAAAAUAAUAAUAAUAAUAAAAAUAAAAUUUAGCGUAAUUAUCAAACUUUGUUUAUAAAAUUAACCCACCAAAGAUAAUUUUUCCAAAAAUUAAUAGAAAAUUUAUUUUUUAGUGGGUUCAACUGCCACUGCACCCUUGAAUAUAGAUCCAUCCUGGUGACAAUGAUGUAGACAAAGGAGAGAUUGUUUGUCAUGCACCUCAUUUUAUGAUAAUUAUUUUUCAUCAUCGAAUGUUUGUUUUCUUAUAAUGCUUGUUAAUUUAAGAAUCAUAUGGUUAACUUUGACUGUGCCUAUUUGCCAUAUGGGCAAAAUUUUGCUAUUUCAUGGCUUAACUAGAAAAAAAAAACCUUUAUUGACUUAUUUUUUUAUUUACCUCAAAUUCAUCCGUCAUUUUCACUUAGAUUCUGUUUAGUGUGGCUUUAUAAAUAGCACUUAUUUACUGUAAGUAUAACUUUUGUUAGGAAAACUUUUACCAAAAUAAUUUUAGUUGUUUGAUUAUCAAUGAGAACUUUUAUUAAAAAUUGUAAAAAUUACUUUAUAGGUAAGUUUUUUUAAAAUUAUGUUAUGAAAUAAAUAAAAUAAGAUUAUAAAAAAUAAAACAAGAUAUUUUAGACAUUAACAUUUUGAAAAAGUUUUUCAAUCUUUGUGCCUAAAAGUCCAAAAUUUGAACUUUGCGAGUAAAGGUAAAAUAACUUAUUUGAUCUUCAAAAGUUUUACCAUUAAAUAAGUUAUACCAAACAAACACUUAAAAAAUUAUUUAUUAUAAGAAGUUAUAAAGUGACGGUUCAAAUUAAACAAUGUGAUAGCAGGAAUAUUUGAUUUAGGAGAUAAAUGAUUCGGAAAAUUGCAAAAAUUUAUUACACUUUGAAGUGUUUUUUUUUUUUUUUUUUUAAGUAUUCAGCAAGUAAUUCUGACUUGUUGGACUUCCCAAAAAGUUUGAAUGCUUUUUAAGUCUUCCAUUCUAUAAAUUUCCUUAACCAGUGCACAUGCACGGGCCAUCACUCUAUAAAUCACAAGGCUGCUUUCAGGGGAAUUUAUUCUAUGGAAUUUUUAAACUUCUAUCAGCAUGAUGAAUUUCUUGUCCGCUUGAACCCGGCCACGCUCCCCACUCCAAACGAAGGCUCACUGGGAGACUGUACCGUUUACAUUCCUGUCUCUCGUAACAGUAGCAAUAUUUCUUGGAAUGCAAGCAAUGCUUUUGAAAUCAGUAGCUAAGUUUUGGAUUUUGAUUUAUUUUCUGGUUUCACAUGAGAAAUCUAAUUAUAUGAUCCAUAAAUACUCGAGCUACUAUCAUCAAGCUUUUUUUUCUUUAUUAUUUUUUUUCUAACUAACAAAUUAAUGAAUUCCAGCUGCCCUCCAGAGUUGCACCAAUACACUUCAGUGAAGGAUUGUAAGAGAAGCCUAGUGAAGUGGUUAGGGGAACUCCAGACAGCUGAAGAAGUAACACUACCCUUUCUCUUGUUGUCUGAAUGGACGUUGGCAUUGAGAUUACUUAGCAGGCCCGCUACUUAUACGGUAUUUACAAUAGUGGCCUUUGCUUUGCCCGUAAGCAUCAGAGAUUCGAGUGAACAAGUUCACAAUUCACCAUAAGUUGUCGGAGUUGAACCUGGUCAGAACUAUGGGUAAUAUGAAAACGCUAAAUUGUGUGCAGAAGAAUCACCACAAAAGUCUCCCUCCCUUUGUCCCCAUAUUUACCUUUCUAAGAUUUCUAUAUAACUAUCCAAAUUAUGCACGUGGGGAAUUAGCAAAAGGAUCAGGUAAUAUCAUGUAAAUGCAAAUAUGUCAAUGAAUUUGAGUGGUCAAUGUUGGUGUCAUAAUUCAUUAGGAAUCAAUCUUUGGAGCCAGCGGAGUUAUUCUCAGAGAUUUUAGGGUCGAUGGUAGAAAUUGAAAUAGGUGUGGCCCAGUUAUUGAGAUUAUAGUCUGGUACCACUUGUGCAACAUAGUAAGAUCAUUUGGUUUUCAUCCCUGAAGAAAUUUUGGAAAUGAGAGGCUUGAUCCAUUCAAAGGUAUAAAUUAAAGCUUGAAUUUGCACAUGGCCAUAUCACCUACACGGGUACAUCAUCAUUUUCUGCUCCCCGUGUAUAUCGCCCAAAGUUGCAUCCCUUUUCACUGCCAACAGCUUUAUGCCCAACUGUAACAAAGUAAGCAUGACACUGAACACAUGAUGCAAUUCUUAGCAUACCAGAGAGGGCUGGUGGUGCUGUUAACAUCUGCUGUACGGCCAAGUGAGGGAAAUCCUGUAGGCCUUAACAUGGUUUCACCACUGUCAAAACCUGAAAGUUUGGAUAUGAUUGGGGUUUUUUUUUUUCCCUUUUUCAUAGAUAAUUUUUUUGAAUUCUUUGCUGCAUAAAUCCAGUGUUGAAAAAUCAUGCACCUGGCAUGCAAAUUCAAGAAAGCAUGCAAUUUUUCAAAGAGCUACCAAACAUUUGAAGAAAAAUGAAAAGUUGGCAAAUUUGUCAAAUUUGCCAAAUGGACACCAUUGACAUAUUUGCAUGGGUUAGGUGGAAUAGUGUUUGGGUUAGGUGGAAUAGUACUAGCUUCAAACCUAUAAAUAGAGAGCAUUUCUUCAUUCCAUUUCAUCCCAAAAUUGUUAAGCUUAUAAGUUUCUAAGCUUUUGAGAGAAGUGAGAGAAGUGUGUCUGGGGAAUUUAUCUUUUCUGCAGAGUGUGAGAGUACUGGGUAUAUUUGGGUUUCUGGGAAGUGAGAUUCGUUAUUCAAAUAUUGUACUCUAUUAAUUGUUAAAUAAACAAUUAUUCUUUCUUGCCUCUGUGGAUGUAGGUUUAAUUACCGAACCACGUAAUUCUUGUGUCCUUUAUUUUUCUAUAAUUAUUUGGUGCGCUUGAUUCCGCAUUCCGCGCACAACAAGUGGUAUCAGAGCCUACGGUUCGUACUUGGGGGGAUACGGUACUGUUCACGUAUACGGUACUAUUCCCGUAUACGGUACUGUUCACAUACGGUACUAUUUACGAAUACGGUGGAGACGGCCAUUUGUACUUGGGAGACAAUCUAUUGUAAGUAGUGUGUAUUUUUGCAUGUCUAGGAAAGUUCUGUCAACAAAGGCGAUAAGAGUCUAAGGAUUCUGGUUUUUAAUUGGGACCGAGUUCCCGUCUAGUCUCCUGGGAACUUUUCUGGUGCAUUUAUUCAUGCGAAAUUAACAUCAUAGAGAUUGUUUUUCAAGUGGAAAUAGUUCGUUGAGAAAAUAGUAGAAGGUGAAACUUCUAGAAUUGGGGAGAGAUCUACAGAGACUAUUUCAGGAGACACUUCAGGUGGGAGGCGAGAUUUGUCAAAUCGCUAUUCAGCACCUGUUAUAGGAGGCCAGAAAAUCGAUGUUGAAAAAUUUGAUGGGAAAAUCAACUUUUGCAUGUGGAGGCGCGAAGUUAUGGAUGCCCUUAUUCAAAUCGAUCUUGAUGUUGUUUUGAAAAAUAAAAGACACUUGUAUGAUGAAGAAAUUUGGGAUCGUAUGAAUGAAAAAGCUUGUGGUCAGAUCAAAUCUUGUUUGACCAAGGAGGUGAAAUACUUGGUGAAGGAUGAUGAGUGUGCGAUGACUUUGUGGCGUACAUUGGAGGAGAAUUAUUUGUUAAAAAGUCCUGAAAAUCGCCUUCAUGCAAUGAGCCAAGUAUAUGGCUUUCGAAUGAAGCCUGCGGUGUCAAUGCACAAUCAUGUCUCAAGAUUUGAAAAGUUACUUGCUGAUUUGAAGAAUCUUGAUGAAGAUAUUAAGGAUGAAGUCAAAGCUAUGAUUCUGUUACAUUCACUACCAGAGGAAUAUAACCAUUUUGUGACUACUUUGAUAUAUGGGAAGAGUGUGAUCGUCUUCAAAGAUGUUUGCACAACAUUGACUAGCUUAGAGAUUCGGAAUAAUGAUAAAAAUUCUGAACGAGCAUCGUCUGAAGCUUUGGUGAGUAGAGAUUGGGCGAUGGAGAAACAGAAGAAGCGUGGUGGAAAGAAUUCUCGAUCCAAAUCGAGAAGCAGAAAUAUAGCUCGAGACGAGUGUGCUUUUGUCAUGAAAAGGGCCAUUGGAGGAAAGAUUGUCCAAAGGCUCAAAAGAGAGAUGGGAAGAAACCAGCAGUAGCAAACAUGGCACGGAAAGAUGAAGACUCUGAUUAUUCACUAAGUAUUACUCCUGCAGUAUACGCGGCUAGUUUGAGCGAGUGGAUACUUGAUAUUGGAGCAACCUAUCAUUUGUGUCCUAUUAAGGAAUGGUUUACGGAUUUUCGUAAUCUGAAAUCCGGUGUAGUUGUGAUGGGGAAUGAUCAACCUUGUCGCACAAUGGGGAUAGGAACAAUUCGGCUCAAAAUGUUUGAUGGAAUGAUCAGAGAACUCAAAGAUGUUAGAUUUGUUCCAGCUUUAAAGAAAAAUCUAAUUUCUGUGGGUGCUUUGGAAGCUAAAGGCUACAAGGUUACCAUUGAAGAUGGUAUAAUAAAGUUUACACAUGGGGCUAUGGUGAUUCUGCAAGGGGUUCGGCGUCACAAUCUGUACUAUUUGAAGGGAGGUACAACUGAUGAAGCAAAUGUUGUUGAGGUGCACAGUGACACCACCAAGCUAUGGCAUGUACGACUGGGACAUGCUGGCGAGAAGUCUUUGCAAACUCUGAUGAGGCACAGACUCUUAAAAGGUACCAAAACCUGUAAAUUAAAUUUCUGUGAGCAUUGUGUAGUAGGCAAGAAAACAAGGGUUAAGUUUUGUACAGCUAAUCACGAUACUCGUGAGAUCCUUGAAUAUGUUCAUAGUGAUGUAUGGGGACCAACCAAGACUGCAUCAAUUGGUGGAAGCUAUUAUUUUUACAUUUGUUGAUGAUUUCUCUAUACGUGUGUGGGUGUACACCAUGUGAGCAAAGGAUGAGGUUCUAGAGAUUUUCGUGAAAUGGAAGAAAUUGGUGGAGACUCAAACUGGCAGAAAGAUCAAAGUAUUACGAUCUGAUAAUGGGGGUGAAUAUACUUAUGAUUCAUUCUUGCAAGUAUGCCAGAAUGAGGGUAUUAAAAGACAUUUCACGGUGAGACAUACUCCGCAACAGAACGGUAUGGCUGAGCGUAUGAAUCGUACUUUACUGGAGAAGGUACGGUGUAUGUUAUCUAAUGCUGGUUUAGAUAAAAAGUUUUGGGCUGAAACUGUGAGCUACGCAAGUCACUUGGUAAAUCGGUUGCCUUCUGCUGCAAUUGGAGGUAAAACUCCUAUGGAAAUGUGGUCUGGAAAGCAUGCACAAGACUAUGAUUCCCUUCGUAUAUUCGGGUGUCCAGCUUAUUAUCAGGUUAAAGAUGGUAAACUGGAUCCUCGUGCUAGAAAAACUAUCUUUGUGGGAUUCAAAGGUGGAGUAAAGGGCUUCAAGCUUUGGGAUCUCGAAGAUAAAAAAUUUGUGUGUAGCAGAGAUGUCACAUUUGAUGAAGCUUCAAUGAUGAAAGCUUCAAGUUCUCAACAGGUGGAGAACAAGACCACAUAGGUAUUGCAGCGGGUGGAGUUUGAUGCAACUCCAUAUGUACUAGUUAGAUCUACAUCAAAGAAGGGUUCAACUAUGGAUGUAACAACUAAAGUUGAAGAAGAUGUUGUUUCUUCUAAUGUCCCACAAAAUGAAGAAACAAUUGAUGAUGUAGAUAAUGAUGAUUUUAUAGCAACAAGGAAGCUAAGAAGAGAGAUAAAGAAACCCGGAUGACUUACUAAAGACAUGGUGGUAGCCUAUGCACUUCCAGUUAUUGAUGGUGACAUCCCCAACACUUUCGAGGCUAUUGGCAAUAAAUGGGUAUACACCAAAAAGCAAUGAUCUCCGAGUCAAUCAACUCCUCGAUACAAGGCAAGGCUCGUGGCAAAAGGUUUUGCUCAAAAUGAAGGUAUUGACUAUAAUGAAGUUUUCUCUCUAGUUGUAAAACAUACUUCCAUUCGUAUCCUACUUACCUUAGUUGCAGAAUAUGAGUUAGAGUUGGCUCAAUUGGAUGUUAAGACGACGUUCUUACAUGAAGAUUUAGAGGAGGAAAUCUAUAUGAUUCAGCCUUGUGGUUUCAGAGUUGCUGGAAAGGAAAAUCAUGUGUGUAGGCUGAUUAAAUCUUUGUACGGACUGAAGCAAUCGCCAAGGCAGUGGUACAAAAGAUUUGAUCAAUUUAUACAAAGGCAGAAAUUCACCAGAAGUGAACACGAUCAUUGUGUUUACUUUAGAAGACUACCAGAUGGAGCUUUCAUCUAUUUGUCACUCUAUGUCGACGAUAUGCUUAUAGCUUUGAAGAAUAGAGAUGAGAUCGAAAGAUUAAAGAAGCAGCUGGCUUCUGAGUUUAAGAUGAAAAGACUUGGGUGAUGCACAGAGAAUACUUGGGAUGGAGAUUCGUAGAGACAAGAAGAAUGAGAGCGUAUGGUUGACUCAAAAGUCUUAUUUGAAGAAAGUGCUAGAAAGAUUCGGUAUGGAUGACAAAACUAAACCGGUAUGUACACCUUUAGCUCCUCAUUUCAAAUUAAGCUUUUCUUCAUGUCCUGAAUCUCAAGAGGAGCGCGAUUACAUGGCUCGUGUUCCAUAUGCUAGUGCUGUGGGUAGUCUUAUGUAUGCUAUGGUAUGCACAAGGCCCGAUAUAUCUCAAGCAGUGAGCAUGGUUAGUAGAUACAUGCACAAUUUGCUCUGUCCACUACGGAAGCAGAGUAUAUGGCAGCAACUGAAGCUGUAAAAGAAGCUAUCUGGUUGAAAGGCUUGUUAUGUGAUUUGGGAGUAAUCCAAGAGAACAUUACGGUCUUCUGUGAUAAUCAAAGUGCGAUAUUCCUUGCGAAGAAUCAAACAUAUCAUGCUCGGACGAAGCACAUAGAUGUGAAAUAUCAUUAUGUGAGAGAGAUUAUCGAGAGCGGUGUUGUGUUGUUGAGAAAGAUCGAUAUCAAAGAUAAUCCAUCAGAUAUAUUGACGAAGGUAGUUUCUGGAAUUAAGUUUCAACAUUGCUUGAAACUAAUUCAAAUCAUUCGAUUGUGUUAAGAUAUGUCCUUCGGGAAUUUUGAACUACGGUUGGCUUGAUCCUAAAUUUUGGGUACGUAGGCAGUCACAGAGAUGCAACCACUUUGGGGAUGAUGGUUCGUUGGUAGUUGGCUCAGAUUUGGACAAAUUUUCGCCGAGGUAGAGAAUUGUUGAAAAAUCAUGCACGUGGCAUGCAAAUUCAAGAAAGCAUGCAAUUUUUCAAAGAGCUACCAAACAUUUGAAGAAAAAAAUGAAAAGUUGGCAAAUUUGUCAAAUUUACCAAAUGGACACCAUUGACAUAUUUGCAUGGGUUAGGUGGAAUAGUGUUUGGGUUAUGUGGAAUAGUACUUGGGUUAGGUGGAAUAGUACUAGCUUCAAGCCUAUAAAUAGAGAGCAUUUCUUCAUUCCAUUUCAUCCCAAAAUUGUUAAGCUUAUAAGUUUCUAAGCUUUUGAGAGAAGUGAGAGAAGUGUGUCUGGGGAAUUUAUCUUUCUUGUAGAGUGUGAGAGUACUGGGUAUAUUUGGGUUUUUGGGAAGUGAGAUUCGUUACUCAAAUAUUGUACUCUAUUAAUUGUUAAAUAAACAAUUAUUCUUUCUUGCCUUCGUGGAUGUAGGUUUAAUUACCGAACCACGUAAUUCUUGUGUCCUUUAUUUUUCUGUAAUUAUUUGGUGCACUUGAUUCCGCAUUCCGCGCACAACAUCCACUUCAGUUUCUUUUAUUUUACCGAUGAAAUAUAAUAAAACAUAAGGUAAAAUAAGUGUGUAUUUAGACUAAUUAACCAUGCACAAUCUUUCAAUAGACAAUAGUUCAUGCAGGGCAGAAGCAGAACAAAUGUUUGUAUUGUAGUUUUAUCAAGAGCUGCUGCUGGACCUGCCGUAACUAAUAAUUUCUUGUAGUUUUAUCAUUGCCAGGACUUCAAAAUCUAAAACACACUUUGCUUUUUAUCUUCAACCAAGUGAAUGAUCAGGAAUUGAUGGUCAAGUCAACGAGGUGACACAUUUGAAAGAGUAACCUCAUUAACAGAACAAACUUUGGCACCCGAUGAGAAUUGACCUGGCCUUGCAACAUUUCGGCCUACAGAAAAUGCAGGUUCGGUUGGUUGAGGAAGUGUUACAUUAUCGCUUGCUAACAUGACAACCACAGAAGACAUGAUAGGUCUAUCUGCUGAGUCUGCUUGAACACACAAUAAUCCAAUGUGGAUAAAUUUCAAAAGUUCAGCAGCAACGCAUGACUGCUUGAGUACUGGAUCCAUCAGCUCCAGUGCUUCUCCUUCACACCAUAGUUUCCAUGUCUAUAAUAUUGUUAUACAGGUCAUAAACAAAGAUGAGACUCAAAAUCAUUGGAAAUUAUUCUCCAGAAAGAAGGAUAGAGAAAGUUACUCACAUAAGAAAGGAGGCUUUGACCAAGUUCUGAUAGAUAAAACCCACUGUUCUUUUUUCCACUGAUGAUUUCUAGCAGUAGAACGCCAAAACUGAAAACAUCCGAUUUUACAGAAAAUAAUCCUUCCAUAGCAUACUCUGGGGCCAUGUAUCCACUGUUUGAAAACAGAACAACAUAAGAUCAAAUGCCAUAGAAAUGCUAAUGACCUAUGUGACCUCCGUAUUUUGAAUCUGGUGACAUGCAUCAUGAGGUCACAUGUUCAAACCAAAUGCAAUAGAAUACUGUUAGCAAAUUUAAUUAUUGGAAACAGAGAAAACAGAGAGAGAUGGGAAUGAAAUGCACUUACUAUGUUCCAACAAUUCGGUUGGUGUUAGCUUCACUUUGAUUUCCACCAAAUAUCCUAGCCAUCCCAAAGUCUGAUAUCUUCGGGUUCAUCUCAUGAUCUAGUAAAACAUUACUAGCUUUGAGAUCACGAUGAAUAAUUCUAAGUCGAGAAUCCUCGUGUAAAUACAAAAGACCCCGAGCAAUUCCAUGAAUGAUACUUAUGCGUCGUUUCCAGUCCAGUUGUACUCUUCUCGCUGAAUCUGAUAAUGAAUUGGACACAACGUUUAACUUGAUUAGCUACUUUGUCAUCCACUCUUCUAUGGCAAGGAAGCGGGGAAAAUAAUAGGAAAUGGAAAGACUUGGGUACAAUUGCCAUAGUGCCCAGUCGUGGAUGUGCAAACCAUAUAACAGGGCCACUUCAAUUAUACAAGCUGGAAUUAAACCAAAACAACCACAGGUUCUGUUUUUAUUUGCACAACUUAACAACUAGCAAUUAAGGAAAUAGAAAGUCGGAGAAACAAACCAAAGAGGAAGACAUCAAGGCUUUUAUUGGGCAUGUACUCAUAUAUAAGCAGUGAUUCAUUUUCCUCUAAGCAGCAGCCCAACAGCCUCACAAGAUUUUUAUGUUGCAAUUUGGCGAUUAGAGUAACUUCAUUCUUGAACUCUUGCAGGCCUUGCCCAGAUGUUCUUGAGAGCCUCUUCACUGCUAUUUCUUUGCCAUCUGCUAAUUUACCCUGCAAGCAACUUUCCAUUUAUUGUUACCACGAAAGUUUUGUAUGCGUACGGAAAACGCAAGUUUCCGCUGACAUGAACUCAUUUCCAAAUACUGCAUUCGGUGAAUACUUAGAUAAAUUUAAACAAGCGUACGGUAAAAAUGGAUUGGUACGAUUAAUAGUUGCUUUUUUAAGCAACUGUAUUUAAGUGUUUAGUAAAUUAUUGUUUGGAAACUAAGUUAAUUUAACCUCACAUUUGUAUGGUGAAAAAAUUAUAAUUUUUUUUUUACAAUUUUUGUCAAAAUUAUUAUUUAAAAAUGAUAUAUACUUUUCAAAACUUUUAUUUUAUAGAUAUAAUUUUUUUUUCUUUUUAUAGUAGUUAUAACUUAAAUAAUAUAAUACCUUGAUACGAAAUAAGACCUUAAGCAUCCCUUUAUAAUUACCUUGUAAACAGGGCCAAAUCCGCCUUCUCCAAGCUUAUUUUCAUCAGAGAAAUGCUGCGUAGCUUCAACUGCGAGAUGUAACGGAAACAAAGGGAACUCUUGAGUUUCUUCCUGCUUCUGUCCUCGUAAAGCAUCAUACGUAUAGUCGUUGCCAAGUCUACCGUCUGCUAGAUGAAGCAGCCCUGUCUCUUGACUAUUUGCUUUCUCCUCUGCAAAACAACGGAUUAAUUAACUUCGUAAACUAUGAAUAAGAACAAGGGAGUGGUCGAGUUACCUUUGACUCUUUCCUUUCUUCUCUUUAUACACCGAAGUAAAAAACUAAAUAGCACAAGUACUAUAAUUGAUGAUACAGUGGCGCCGAUUGCAAUCCAUGUUCUGCUUUCCCUCGUUUUCUUCUUUCCCGAAUCUAACAUAUAGCCAAGUUAAAGAAUCUCUGAGGAAAACUCUUUCUACAUCUUAUGUUAUGUUUAAUUUAUAUAGAAUUAAGGAACCUGAGAUUUACGAACUCACCGUCGGAGCUACCAUUCUUCUUAUUAGGUGGAUAGAUAGGAACUGUAGGGUCCUCAAAGAAAGGGUACAGCUCGUAUCUUAUGUUACAACUUGGCGUAAGAAUUCUAGCACCUCGCUUUCCGUAGCAGCAGUUUGGAAUUUGAGCAACAGCCCCGCGCAGGCAAAUAUUGGAGUCUGAUUUAGACAGAUAUGGUAUGCACUGCACCAGAGUCCUAAGUUUAUCAAUGCUAGAGGCGUUAACCAUUUGGGCUGCAGCUGGAUACUCAAAAUCCCUUGAGGUUACAUUUUGAAUUAGAUCACUGAAGGACUGAGCCAAAAUAUUAGAGAACUUAUAAGGAUCAGUAACGUUUAUUGUGAUCAGUAGGGCUACAGAUGGCUCUGUCUCUAGCCAAGAAGGAAAAGAACUGUUACAGAAGCGCACCAUACACUGAUCAUACCAUACAAUAGCCUCCUUGGCGCCAGUACAAUUUGUCACAAUGGUAUGGAUUGCAACUUUUAUGCAGUCUUGGCAGACGUCAUUAGAAACGUCGAAUCUACAAUUGUAAAGACCAUAAACUUUGUCUGGGUAAUCCCCUUCAGUUGCGUUGGAGUAUAAGUAGCGGCCAGCUUCAUUGUAGAGCUUUGCGCUGAAGAGUGUGCCAACAUUAAACAUGAAUAAACCGCCGGAAGAAGUAUCGCUUUCCCUGACGCAGAAAUGGUAGACAUAAUUGGAGUCAAGUUUAGCCGCCUCUGACGAACUUUGUAACAGCACUAAAGAUAGAAACGAAAAAAGGUGAAGCAAGCUAACUAUGUUUCUAGUUCUCAGGCCAAAUAAUACGAGCAGAAUCGGCAUCGUCCCCUUGCUCUUCAACUCUGAAAAUUUUGAGUUCCAAUGUCAAGGGACUGAAUUAACACACAAGUAUCCAACUAGAAGUAAACAGUAUUAAUGGUGAAUACAAGACGAAUUAAGAUAAAUAGGAAAAUCGUGGGUUCCAACCCCUUUCACAUAACUUGUUUUGGGAUUGGAUUUUCAUUAAGCUACAUAAUUAAAAAGGAUAAUACAAAAAACAAUGAAAUUGAAAAGUCAAACAAAGGACCAUCGACAGUUUCCAGGCAUCUUCACAUCGGAGACUAAUAACAGGUGUCUUUUUUUUUUUUAAAUAAAUCCUUAAAAAUAAAUAUUUUCUAACUUAAAAAAAGUUUGAAAACUAAUUGAAUACAACCUUUUAAUAUUCUAAAUUAGUAUAUAUUAAUUAAUUUUAUUGUAGUUUAUAAUAUUUUUAUAUAAAAAAUAUUUAUAAAAAAUUAUACAGAUAAAUAAUGAAACAAGCAUAAUAGAGUCUUGCGCUGCAUGCAUGCCUGUGGAGGAAGUCGUCUACUUAACUAUUUGAUGAGAAAUAUCAAUGAAAAUGAAAGGAGUACCAUUUCAAGGCUGCUCAACGCGGACCAACAGGCUUUUCGAAGACGCGAACCAGCCCCAAACAGCACGGAACUAGGCUGAGGAAGUCGUCCGCAGUUAAUGCAUGUAUGACGUAUGCUUUUAUUGAUUUAAUUCAUAGCGCAAGCUGAUUUACUAGAGCCGUGGGGAUAAAAGUAGACGUGAUCAGGUCACAAUAUAUUUUUAGUAUUUAAAUAGGAUAUGAAUAGAAAGGGUUUUCGAAAGGAUAGUAGAUUGAACUUGAAAAGGGCUUGUAAAGUGAGUCCAAGAGGAAGAAGGGCGUAGGCUGAAUUGAAUAUCCAAUUAGCUUCAUUCUCUUCUAAUCGGGUGAGUCCACUCGAAGCUUAUUAUAUACACCCCAUUGGUUGUUUACAAAGAUGUAGCCCUGUACGGGCACAGAUUGUAAAUAUAUACAUGAAUCGUGGUCAAUCUUGUCAGCCCUGAGCUGUCCUUCACUCUCUGGUGGUCGCUCUUCCGCUCACGAAUAACUCCCGCUGUCGCAUAGAAAAGACGCUGUCGUUUCAGCGACACAUAGACAGAGCUUUAUUCUUCUUCCUCUUUACAAUUGUUCAAUUUUUUUUUUUUGUUUUAACUCUUUAAGUCUCUUUACACUUGGGGUUAGGGUUUCACUCAAAAUCUCCAAAAAAUAUCUUUAACUAUUCUUAAUUGGCAGUUCCUAAGAUUAUUCCUCCAGUCAUAACUGGCAGUUUCUAGGCAUCUUCGUUCUUCACAUUGAAGAUUAGUCAUCGUUAUGAAAUAUCAUGCAGCUUUAACAUACGUUAGAUUAAUUAAACACGAAUUUCUGGAAAAAGAAAAAAAAUUCGAAUAUAGCAUUCUAAUAUAAAUAAAUAAUUUCAUCAAAAUGGUGAGUUAUAGUGAUGGGUGACUUCCAUCUAAUUAAGAUUGUAAAAUUCUUUUGUGUUCAUAUAUAUAUAUAUAUAUAAAAAUUCGAGUUCAAAUCCCUGUCAGUCUGUCACAUAGGUGGGGAGAGUAUUAAAUACUUGCAGUGCUAAAUAAUAACAUUGAUGUCACAUCUGUGGAGCUGCAUGUCUGUGGAGUCCCUACUUGAUUAAAUAGUUAUGUGACAGAAAAAACCCAUUGACCAUUCUAGUGCUCAAGAUUUUUAAAUUAUUCACCGGCGAAACUUAAUCAAAUGAACAGAUUCAAAACAAGGCAAAGAAACUCAAUCAAAUGAAAUUCCCCUUUAGUAAUAAUUAUACAAUACAUUUUUCAGUAAUAAAAUUAAUUAUCAACUAUCAAAUUAUCAAAGCCUACUACGUAGUGCGUACUUAUCCACGGAUUAAGAUGACUACUUUGAAAAGUUUCGUUAUAUGUAUUUCACUGAUGAAUCUGACGGUGGAUGACAGUUUGAUUGCGCAUAUUUGAGAGGUAAAAAUUAAGAUUCAAAAUGGAUCCCGUCCCUAAACAUAAGUGAUGGGGAAGUUAGCUGCUAGCCGGGCACCCCGACUCAUCACUCAUGCAAUUCUCUAAUGAGUAAUUUUGCCGUCCGAUUAUUGUUAUACUUCAAAAUGGACCAUGGGUUUGUUACUUACAAAAGAGAGUUGGGGCCUGUUUGGAAAUAUUUGUCAGGUAUUCAAAAAUGAUUUCGAAAAGUUAGUAGUUAAUUUAGGUGUUUGAUUUUUUUUUAAUUACUUUGGAGAAAAUUAUUCCAUGUAAAUUUUAAAAAGCAGAAAAUGAGUAACUUUUAAAAUUUAAUUUUGACAAUCAUUUUUUAUAGUUAAUAUAAUUUCAUAUAUAUCUUCACAUAUAUUAUAAAAAUUCAAAAUUGUCCUUAUUAAUUAGAAGAUAAAAUUAUUAAAUUUUAAAAAGAUUAUUAUUAUUAUUACCAAUUAUAUUGAGAUAAUAAAAUAAAAAAUAAAAUUAAUAAUAUAAAAUAUUUAUUUUAGCUAUCAAAUAUUAUAUAUACACAUUAAACAAAUAUUUUACAAACAUAUUUAUAAAUCUGUUAAUAAAUUUUAUUCAACAUUAUAUCCACUUCAGUCAUUUAUAUUCUGACAGCAAUUGAACUGUAGGAUUUAUCAACAUAUGACUGCUUUUAAAACCUAUAAUACUUUAAAAAUAAAUCUUACUGAACAUUUUACUAAUUAUAUUCACAAUUGAUUAUUUCGACAAUGCAAUUAGCACUAAUUAUUCUAAAAGCUACAAUAUUAUCAAAGUGGCCCUUAGUUUCUCGGGCUUACUCCUAAUAUAAGAACGAGAUUCUUCUGGGCUCUCUUUUUAUGAAAUUUAUUUUUUAUUAUGUGAUUUUGUUGUUUUCCGUUGAUCAGUUGUCAAUUAACUGCAUUUUAGAAAUAUUUAUCUUUUUAGUUUUUAAGGAUUGCAUUGGAAAUUUUUUUUUAAAAAAUAGUUGAAAUAUUUGUUAACAAUGUUGAAUACGACCAAGUAAGUAAUAAUAAAUAAAUAAAUUAAAUUAACAUUGUUUAUAGAAAAAAAAAAGUUUUUUUUUUUUUUAAGUUUGAAAAGUUUUCAUUGAAAAGUAUCUACUUUGAAAUUUUGUUUUUUCCUUUAACUAAAAGGCCCUUUGUCAAAUGUCUUGUCUUUGGGACAAGUUUUGUAUGUCUUCUAUGUAAUGACAAGUUUUCUUUCGUAAAUUUACAGAAUUAAAGUUUUCUAGUCAGAAUUUCAUCUUCUUGCCCUACUAGGCAAGGGCAAUGUCUAAAGGAAAUCAGGAGUUUGAAAUUAAUACAGGUUAUGCUCAUAUCAGUUUGGAGGAAGAGGAGGAAGGAGAACUGAUUGUAGAAGGAGAUGCUGUUAAUGAGGGUGGUUAAGGAAAUAUUCAUUUUCAGUUUUGUUUGGUGGGCAGAAUCCUCACGGAUAAAGUAAUUAAUUUUCCUGACAUGAAGAACACCAUGGCUUCAUUAUGGCAUCCAGGGAAGGGAGUUUGUAUCAAGGAUUUAUCUCCCACGCUAUUUCUAUUCCAAUUCUUCCAUGAAGUUGACGUGAAAAGGGUUCUUGAAUCGAGACUAUGGACAUUUGAUCAACAUAUGUUGAUUCUUAAAUGGCUGAAGGAGAAUGAACAACCUCAGAAUUUCCUACUUCGCUUUACUUCAUUUUGGAUUCAGAUUUACAAUAUGCUAAUAGGCUUUAUGUCUGGGAAAAUUUUGAAAGAUAUUGGUAAUUACAUAGGCACCUUUAUGGAGUCCGAUGAACAUAAUUUAAUGGGGGUUUGGAAAACUACAUGCGCAUCCGAGUGUCCAUAGAUGUUAGAAAACCUCUGAAGCGAAGGAUGAAAUUGAAGAAGGCAGGCGGAGAUUAGGUUUGGGUUAAUUUUAAAUAUGAAUGCCUUAAUAUUUUUUGCUUUAUUUGUAGAUUGCUUGGUCAUACUGAAAAGUAGUGCCCCAAAUUGUAUGAAUGUCCUCCUGGUGAAAUUGUGAAAUUUUAUGAUCACUAGAUAAAAGCACCAAAUAAAAGAAAUGCUAUGAAUUCCGGUGAACGGUGGUUGAGAUCAGCAUCGCCGGGGGAAGCUGACAAGGAAAAUGAAGGAAUGUGGAUGUAGUAGUUACCCUGGCAAUUGACCCGAUUUUUGCCACAAAUCAAGGAGAUGUUAUACGUAAGAAUAUUGAUGGGAACGUGGAUGUGGGAAUCAUGGCAACUAGUAAGGAAGGUGAUAAUUUUUUGCCAACUAGGACUCUAUCACGUGUGAAAGGAAAGCAAGUUAAGGGGACAACUAAUGAGAUUGAUUUCAAUAAGGAUUUUAGGGAUGAAAUAGAUGAGGAGAUAAUGGUUAGUGAUUCUAAAAGUAGAAGGUUGCUAAUUGGGUCAUGUAGUAAAGUGGGCUUCGAAGGAGAGGUGUCUUCCCAAACGAUGAAUUUGCCAUUAGUUUAAAAAAAGGGACCAGCGGUGGGCCCUGUAGAUUAGGCCCACCGAGUUCAAUGAGUGUUUUAAGCUGGAACUGCCGUGGGCUAGACCAACCACGGACAGUUCAAAUGCUGAAGGAGUUGGCCAAAUGUAAGAAACCGAUUUUUAUUUUUCUUAUUGAAACAUUGUAUAAUAGAAGAAAGUUAGAAAGCUUAAAAAUAAAAUUGGGCUAUGAAUGAUUGUUUACAGUUGACCCAGUAGGCCGGAGUGGAGGACUUGCUCUCUUUUGAAGAGCAAGCAGUAAUGUUAGAUCAUUAAAGUUUUCUAAGAAUUGUAUUGAUGUGGAGAUUGAGUAUCAGGACAUGGGCAAGUGGAGGAUGACAAGCUUCUAUGGGUUCUUGGAAUCUAGCCGCCGGUGAGAGUCUUGGGAUCUUAUUCGCACUUUGUCUGUUGUGUCUUCUCUUCCUUGGGUAUGCAUUGAGGAUUUUAAUGAUCUUUUAGCUGUUCAUGAGAAGCGAGUGAAGAAUGAGCAUCGAAAUUGGAAAUUGCAAGGAUUUAAACAAGCUGUUUCUGAUAGCGAUCUAAGUGAUAUUGGUAUGGAGGGUUACCAAUUUACAUGGGAACGGUCUCAGGGUACAGAGAAUUGGGUGGAGGAAAGAUUGGACAGAGUUUUUGCCACUGAUUCUUGGAUUCAUCGAUUCAAAGAGGCACGUGUUUGGAGUCUACAGUAUUCUACCUCAGAUCAUUUACCUAUUUUUAUGGACCCAAAACCUCUAACUCACUCUCAUAGGCAUCGAAGAUUUCUGUUUGAAAACAUAUGGCUUAGAAAGGCUGAUUGUGUAGAUGUGGUUUGGUCUAGCUGGUCCUCCUCUCAUGGAAUUCCAAUUCAACAAAAACUUUUAAAUUGUGGGAUUGCUUUACUUAAUUGGGGAGGUCACUUAGCUUGCGAUUUUCGUAAUCGUAUUUCUGAAUGUAGAAGGAAAAUGACUCUUUUACUGGGGCGUCGUGAUUCAGCUGGUAUUGAGGAGUUUACUGAGGCCAAGAAGCGUUUUAAUGAGCUCUUCCAUAGCCAUGAGGUUUUCUGGAAACAGAGAUCAAGAUGCUUUGGCUAAAAGAAUGGGAUAUGAAUUCUCGCUUCUUCCAUGCUACGGCUUCAACAAGAAAGAAAAGGAAUUCUAUUACGACUCUCUGAAAUGCUCAAGGACAAUGAUGUACCACCUCAGCUGAAAUUGAUGGUUUGAUUUAUGAUUUCUUCUCCAAUUUAUUUACUACAAAUGGUUACCAAAAUGAUUAAGUUUUAAACUGUGUGGAGACAAAGAUCACUGAAGAGCAAAAUGAGUUGCUGCUAGCGCCUUUUACAACAAGCGAGGUUAAAGCGGCCCUCUUCGAAAUGCAUCCAGACAAAUCACUAGGACCUGAUGGUAUGAAUCAUGCCUUUUACUAACAAUUUUAGCUUACUGUUAGUGAGGAUGUGACUGCAGCUUGUUAGCAUUUCAUUACUACUUGCUCUCUUCCGAUGGGUUUAAAUGACACAUCUAUUGUAUUGAUCCCCAAGAAACCAAAACCUGAGAUGUUGUUAGAUAUGAGGCCUAUUGCUUUAUACAAUUUGUUGUAUAAGAUUGUAGCUAAAAUGCUCUUAAACAUAAUAAAGUCAGUCCUGGGCUCUAUAAUUUCUGAAUUUCAGAGUGCGUUUGUGCCGGGUCGGGCCAUAACAGACAAUAUCCUUAUCUCCUUUGAAAUUAUGUACUUUUUGAAAAGGAAGCGGCAAGCUGCUCUUAAAAUUGAUAUGUCGAAGGCCUAUGAAUGAAUUGAAUGGGAAUUUUUGAAAGCUAUGAUGCUUAGACUGGGGUUUGAUACUAAAUGGGUGAAGUUGAUUAUACUAUGUGUCUCUACAGUCCGGUAUUAUGUUAUUCGCGAUGGGAAGGAGGUUGGACUUAUUGUUCCAGGUAGGGGACUUUGUCAAGAGGAUCUUUUGUCACCGUAUUUAUUCAUUCUUUGUGCGAAGGGUCUCAGUGCGUUAAUCCGUAAAUAUGAGUUGGCUAGCUUGAUUCAUGGGGUAAAAGUUGCUAGAGGGGCUCCUGUUGUAUCUCAUUUAUUCUUCGCAGAUGAUUGUUUUCUGUUUUUCAAAGCUAACCGAAGUAAAGCUCGUUUGAUUAAGCACAUUCUUGUGGCUUAUGGUCAAGGGUCAGGACAGUUGGUGAACUUUAACAAAUCUUUAAUAUCUAUUAGUUUGAAUGUUAAUGAAGAUGUGAAAGGGCUGAUUUGUACUAUUUUGGAGAUUAAUGCUACUGUUAACCAUGACAUCUAUCUUGGCUUACCCUCUCUUAUUAGAAAAAAAUAAAAAAUAAGUUUUUCGGUCUAUCUGAGAUAGAGUGUGGCAGAAAUUUCACAGCCGGAGUAUGAAGAUGCUGUCGAGAGCUGGAAAAGAAAUUCUGUUAAAAACAGUGGCUCAAACUAUUCCGAAUUAUGUCAUGCAAGUUUAUCUUUUGCCUAUUGAUCUUUGUAGAGAUCUAGAAACUAUGAUGAACUCAUUCUAGUGGGGAAAUAGACGCAAUAGUGGAGGUGGCAUUCACUGGAUGAAAUGGGAAUUGCUUUGCAAACCGAAGUCAAAUGGAGGAAUUGGCUUAAAAAAUCUACAUGACUUCAAUGUGGCAAUGUUGGGGAAACAAGUUUGGAAACUUCUAACGAAUCUGGAGUCUCUUGUUGGCCAAAUAUUCAAAGCUCGAUACUUCCCUGGUACAUCCGUUGUAGAGGCUGGUUUGGGUUAUAAUCCAAGUUUUGUGUGGAGAUCUCUAAUGGCAGCUAAGCACAUUAUUGUUCGUGGUAGUAGGAUCCAGGUUGACAAUGGUCAGGACAUUACUAUUGGGUCAGUUCCUUGGCUUCCAGAUACAGAAAAUUGUUUUAUUUCCACUAGCUUACAUGAGCGGAUGACAACAGCACCAGUCAAUAGUUUAAUAAUUCCUGGGCAACAUCGAUGGGACUAUGACGCAGUGGUAGAUUUGUUUAAUGCUCGAGAUAAGAAUAUUAUCCUGUAAAUACCCCUUCGUACUCAGAGGGAUAAGGACGUGUGGUAUUGGAUGGCAGACCCUCAUGGUUUAUACACAGUUCACAUCUGUUAUAAAAUGCUUAAUCAUUGUACUACUACCCCAACAUCUAGUGUUUGGAGGAAAAUUUGGAACUUGGAGGUGCUUAACAAAGUAAAGAAUUUUCUUUGGAGAGCUACAAUGAAUGUGUUACCAACAAACGAUAAUCUUAUUCGGAAAAGUAUUAAGGUAUUGCCUAUUUGCUUCCUCUGCAAUAAUCAGAAUGAAUCUGUUGUGCAUGCUUUGGUGAACUGUGCUUUUGCACAAACAUGCUGGAUUUCUUCUUCACUUGGAUUUGUUGGUCAUCACUCUUCAUUUCUUAUUUGGCUAGAUCAAGUCUUUGCCCGCUGUAGUAAGGAGAUGUGUAAUCUUGUUGCCAUGAUAUGUUGGAAAAUCUGGUUUCGUAGGAAUGAGAAAGUUUGGAAUAACAAAGUUUGUAGUGUGCAUCAUGUCCUUAAUUAUACUGGGAAUUAUUUGUUUCAAUGGCAAACUGUGAGAAAACAAUUUGUUUUCAUUAAUGAUAAUUCUUUCCAAGGUUGUCAUGGGGUUGUUUGCUGGGAAAAACCUCAUCUAGGUUGGCAUAAGUGUAAUGUUGAUGCUGCAACAUUUUCAUCUCAGGGGAAAGUCAGCUAUGGAGGUGUCAUUCGCAAUUCUGAUGGGGUUUUUGUUGCAGCAUGCUGUGCGUGUGUGAUUGGAAGUUUUGGCGCAAGGGAUGCUGAAGCGCUUGAUGUAUGUGACAUCCUAAGUUGGAUUAAGCGGCGGCAAUUGUCUUGCGUUGUUGUUGAAAUGGAUUGUUUUUAGGUUUUUAAAGCUCUCACAGAGAAAUGGUUAUGGCCUAAUUCUUGAUGAUUGUGGAGCUUUAGCUCAUUCUAUAGGAGAUAUUAAAUUCUCUUUUGUCUGAAGGUCUGCGAACACUACUGCCCAUGUUGUUACAAGGGUUGGAGAGUUCUUUAUCAGGCCGUGGAGAGUGGAGUCAUAUUCCGCCAUCCUGGUUAACUAAUUCUCUGUAUUCUAUUUCCAGUUAAUGAACUUUUCAAGUUUUAUUCAAAAAAAAAUUGUUUACAGAUAGCGUACGCAAAGUUAAGGAAUCCAAGAAAUAUACUAAGUUAAUUAUUGUAUUCAAUUUUUGUAUGAGGCCUUCAUCUUAGUAAUGCUAAGGCGUUUCUAAUAUCAUCAUUUUAUUGUCGCUGGAGACUUGCACUGCAUGCAUUAAAUCCUGGAAUCAAAUUAGAUGUAAAACUUUGUUAAACCCAAAAUCCAAAUUUGAAGUAAAAUGCUAUUAAAUCCAAAUUCAAUAAAAUCACAUAUUAUUGUUUACUGUUCUUUUACCUCUCACCUUCACCAUCACCAUCGGAGUAUGUAGAGACUCAAAAUAUGGAUCUAUAAAUUGUACUAUACUUUCUGGUGGUGACAGUAUCGAAUCACGUCACGUGCUUCUUUGAUCAUUAAUUGGAGACACAUUUGAAAGAAAAAAAAAGUUACUUUUACGUUUAAUUGUCUUCAACAUUUCAUUAGUAUUUAUCUGUAGAUAUAGGUGAGGUUUACUAGGUUUAUUGCGACUAUAGAUUUUAAGAUGAUAUAAAAACUAUGCUUCUCAAGUCAAAAAAGAAAGGUUACAGAAAGAGAUUAUGAAAAAAAAAAAAUCUAGGAAAAGGUUAUUAUAUUUGUACAAAAACUAAAAUCAUAUAAAGUUUAUGUAUCUUUUUACUUACUCACGACUAAUAAUUUUAUGCCUUCUCACAAAAUAGUUAUAACUAAACCAAAUAAAAAGAAUAUCACUGAAAUUUCUAAGUAAUAAAUAUUCCCGUAUUUAGAUACCCAUGAUUGCUGAUUUAGGAGUCAUAUAGUCUUUUUUUCAAAGUGCUCCAGUAGGACAAAGUUUCUCACUACAGCUCCAUAGAGUAGUUCAUCUGUUAACAAGAAAUGUCUAUAUAUAUAUUUAUAGACAAGUUUGUUGUCAACUUGUUAACCUCUACUCCUCGCUCUUCCUUGGCCAUUAGUAUGCUUUCAAGAAUUUCAUGAAACGGUUUUCCAUUAAUGAUAAUCACCCCAGUGCCUGGACCUACGCCACCAGUUCAUAUCUCAACUUGGAUUCAUGAUCUUUUUGUAUCUAAUCGCAAGGCUGCUUUCAGCGGAUUUUAUUUAUGGAAUUUUUAAACCACUAUCAGCAUGAAGAAUUUUAUUUUUCUUAUUAGUAUGAUGACUUUCUUUCUUGUCCGCUUGAACACGGCUAUAGGCCCUAGUCUAGUCUGAGGCGCAACGGAAGACUCCACCGUUUAUGUUUUUAUCUUUCGUAAGAGUAGCAACGUUUCUUGGAACGCAAGCAAUCCUUUUGGAAUCAGUAACUACGUUUUGGAUCGUGAUUUGGUUUCAGGUUUCGUUUAUAUAAUGCAGAACAUGAAGCGUUGGAACAUGAGCUUGCUUGUUGAGGUGACGAUAGAGAUAGUACUCUUAUUGGACAGCCUUCGUUGCUCUUUGGUUGGCACGAAGAUAACAAAUGCUGUGUCUGGUGUCCAUCCGAAGGCAAUUACACUAUAGAUGAUGUUUCUCUCGCUUACAUUGUUGGAGCUGCUUUCUCUCCGAAUCUUGGACCGUGCGAUGUGAUGGAUGAUUGGAAGCCUUCUCCUGAUGGAAUUCUACUGGAAGAAAUUACUACAAGUGACGAUGCAUGUGUUGUGUACAGAUGUUUUCGUGAGGCAUCUGAGGUGAGAACAAUUGAACGGUGGGAAGUUGCGUGUUGUGGCUGUAAGUCAACUGAGGUAGGGUCAGGCAAGAAGCGUUGAGACGAUUAACGAAGAUGAUAGGCGGCCUGUUCGGAAUAUUAUUCAUGAAUUUAGGCUCAUUGACGGGACUUAUUAUCGAUUGGUUGUGUUUAGUUUUCACCUGCAGACAAGGUCCAGCGCCCUGACGAUGAUAGCCAUGAAAUAAAUUGCAUGAGGUUGUUCGAUGUUAAUUUCCGUCAGCAUUUGGGAUUUAUUUCUGUUUUUGUUUUGUGACCAAGAUUGAGAAACAUGUCUGCAAAAUAUGCUAAUAAAAAUCUUCGUUUGAUGAGAGAUUUUCAGCUUAUUAUGAUUGGCAAAUCCCUUGGAAUAUCCAUUUGAGGAAGAAAGAAAAAUGAAUGUGACUUCUUACCCAUUCAAAUUAUUGCAUGGGAAUAAUUCAUCAUUAAUGGAUAUACACAUACUUGAAUAAAUUCAGCUUAACAUUUCAACUACAACGGUGAAGUACCCGUACAGAUUCCCACCUUGAGACUCAGUGUGUAAAAUUAAGAAUGAAGGUGUUUGAUGGAAGUGAUGAAGUGUACUAUGAAAUGCCACAGUGAGAUUAUUUUUGUGGGAAGACGAUAAUUAGAAUUUAGCAGCUCAAGGUACUCUCGAAUCAGCUAAACAAACACCCUCUAGAAGAGCUUUAUAGAAUACACUAGAAUACUGAAGAUGAAGCCAUAAAAGAUUGUGAUUCAUCAUGCUUAAAUGCAAAAUGUAUCAAGAGUUCUUAUUUCUAAUUGUAUCAAUCUAGACCCAAUCCAAGCCAUUUAAAAAAUAAUAAAUGCAAUUUAGUGUAUAGGCUUAGACUAAAAAGCCUGCAAAAUCACUUGCCGGAAAGACAAAAUGAAUUUACCGCAUUUGUGAUUUUUUUUUUCUUUGUUUCUAGUUAUUCAUUUACUGCUUUUUUUUAACUAGACCGUCCAUGAAAACAUAUCAUAACUUGUGAUAUUAUUAUUUUAAAAUAAUAUGAUACUCACCCAUGAAUGAUGAGAUAAUUUAAUUCAUAAAAUGUUUCAAAAAUUGUAAAAAUUUAUUAUUAACUUAAUAACAAUCACGUGACUUCGAAACAGUUCAUUUAGUCCUUGCAUUCAUUAGCUGCUCUGCUAGUGCUCUUCAGUUGAGAAGAUGAAUGGGAUUAAUUACUUUGAACUUCCCAAAGUUGAAUCUCUUUCUUCUUCCCCUCUAUUUCAAGCCUUCACCCCAUCAACUUAUUAUCGAUGGACUGUUUUUAAUUUUGACCUGCACAUGUGAUACAGAACCUGAGGAUGAUAGCCAAUUAGCCAUGAAAUAAAUUACAUAAGGUCGUUUGAUGUAAAUUUCCACUAGCAUUUGGAAUUCAUUUCCGUUUUCAGUUAUCUGAUCAAUUUUGAUAAACACAUAUACAAUGUGGUUUCUGUUUUAGUUAAAUUUUAAGUUAUUCAUGGAGUAGUACUUAAAAAGAAAGUAACUUUGAGAAGAAUGGGCAAAUAUGGUAAUUCUGUUAUCACUCUAAUUCUAAAUUUAUAAUCACAUAAUUAUAGGCUCAAUUUGUCUCUGGCCGUUGGAGUCAAUCGUGCAGCAGUAAAUGAGAUAAUUUACUUUCCAUACAAGGUUACGUUGGCUGAUUUGUUGCGAGACUUGGUUAUAACAUUUUUCAAAAUCCAGGAGUGAUUGAUGCAAAAUUUAAUAUCAUUGAUUCUGAAAAUCCUCUUUAUAUAGAACACUUGUAUAAAAUAAAAAUUAUUCACCUGCACUAGACACAAAGAUAGUUAAAAAAUGAGCAUGGAAUUCUUAGGUAUACAAAUUGCAGUAGCCAUUUACAUUUACGUUCUCACCUUGACCAGCAAAAUUAAUGGCUUUAGAAUUGAGCUCACCCCAAGAACCUCCAUUGAUUCGGCUCUGUUUCCCAAAGACCUUUCUCCAGAAGAAAUACAUCACAGAAUUGCUCAACUCUCCAGAGCUCGCGCUAUUCAUCUUAGAUCCAAUCAAGAACCCGAAACACUAAAACCACCUGUUUAUCCUUCUCCUUUUGCUAACACCAAUAUAUACAUAACAAAGAUAUCCAUUGGCUCAACUCAGUUCUCACCUUACUUGGUAGUGGAUACCGGUAGUGAUGAUACAUGGCUUCAAUGUGAGGGUUGCACAAGUUGCUUUCCAAUCAAGGGAGGAAGCUUUCGUGUCAAGGAAUCAAAAACUUAUCGCGGCUUAGCUUGUGAGCACCCGCUUUUUGUCCCCAAAUUGUGUAAUAAAGGUCUAAGCUCAUACGAUUGGAAGUACAAAGAAGGUAGUGGAACUAAGGGUGUGCUUUCGUCCGAAAGUUUAACUUUGCCUGGGGAUAAAAAUACAAGCCUAACAUUUGCAAAUGUAACCUUUGGUUGUGGCUAUGACAAUCAGAACGUAUCAUUUGGUGGAUACAUGGGAAGUGACAAUAUAAUUGCGGGGUGUUUGGUUUAGGGGCAGGGCAACGAUCAAUCCUGAGGCAAUUGGAGCCUGAGACCAACCUACGUUUCUCUUCGCUUGUACCCCACAACAGACGGGAGUAACACUACUUACUUGCGAUUUGGCCCUGAUGCUCAGAUAAAAAGGAGACGAUAAACGAAAAGUUCAGCCAAUAAAAUUGAACCCCAGCCUACCCGGGUAUUAUGUGAAUGUUACAGGUGUUAGCGUUGAAGGAAAACGACUAGAAAUAGACCCAGCUUUGUUUCAGCUAAAACAAGGAGGCUCUGGUGGAUUUUCUAUUGAUUCAGGUGUUGGACCCACUCUUCUUGUUCCUGAGGCAUAUGAAGUCUUGAAACUGGAAAUCCUUGAAUUCUAUUUGGCGCGAGGCUUUCAUCCUGUAAAAGUAUUGCAUGUGCCGUAUGAUCUUUGCUAUGCUAUUACACCUGCAGCUAAUGUUGAUGCUAGUGUUUUCUUCCCGUCAAUGGUAAUCCAUUUCGAAGGGGCUGACCUUUUUCUGGAUGAUACUGCUGUGAUGGGGUUUGUUGCUCCUCAAUUGUUCUGUUUGAUUUUCUUGCCUACGCAUCCAUCCGGACCGAAUCUUCUGGGGGCAUUUCAGCAAGAAAAUCAAAGGUUUUUGUUUGAUGUUGGAAAAUCUACUGUGUCAUUUGUUUCUGAGACAUGUAAUGAGCAAGAAUAAGAUUAUGUGACUCUAAAAAAAUUGCAGGCUUUUCAAAAUUUUUUUUUUUCUUUUUCUUCCCAGAUUGUCAGCUUCUUUGGAUUCAGGUCCUGCAAUUGUAAAGGCCUGAUCAGUACUCAAUUUUAGACAUAGCAGGUGUUAAAAAUGAGACUGAUGCAAUAUUUAAUUACGAAUUCUCCAAAUUUGAACCCUACGUAAACUUGAUUUAGAUAAUCAUGAUGUAAGAAGCAAUAAUGAUACAUGAUUAGGUGUACAAAAAGUUAUCGUUAAUGUAAAUAUAGAAAUUUGUAGAACUGGCAGUCGCAGCUCAUCAUGAUUAGUUGUGCAAUACCUUUAAUGGUAAAGCAUUAAUGAAAUUCUAUAAAGACUAAAAACCAUUUAAACCAAAAGAUAUAGAUUUGAUUGCCGCUCACAUGGGUGGGAAAGGGAGUAGAUUACUAUUAAGCUUAAUAAUAAUAAUAAGGAGCCCCUACGUUACGAUUAACGUAACGUUCACCCACACACAACAACAGUAUUAAUUCAUCCAAUUCAACAUUCAAUACCCAAAAACGCUGAUCUAAGCUUGCUUUAGAAAAGAUAAUUAUGAUGUAAGAAACAAUGAUACAUGAUUGGUGGUGUAUAAAUAUUUAUCAUUUGUGCAAUAAUAUUGAAACUUGAAACACUGAUAACAUGAUUAGUUGUACAAUAUCUUAACGUUAAUGCAAUUUUAAAAAGAGUAAAGAGCAUUUAAAUGCAAAAUCAGCACCAAUUCCUCAAAAGCCAUUUGUUCUUCUGUAUAUCCAUACAAAAUUACAAAUGAUGCAACAAUGUUCUUGCUACUCACAAAACAAAGAGAUUAUGGCCGUGAAACCCUUUGAUUUACAGCUACAAGGGGUGGCUGCAGUUGCCCUCUACAUUUACAUCCUCACCAAGUUCAUCAUACAACUUAUAGCUUCAGAAUUGACCUCAUUCCAAGAACCUCCAUUGAUUCAAAUCUUUUCCCCAAACACCUUACUCAUGAAGAAACACAUCAUAGAAUUGCUUCACUUUCAAGAGCUCAUGCUCAUCAUCUCAGUUCCAUGAAUUCUGCCAAAUCCGCCCGAAAACAAAGCACACCCCGAGCCUGAUCAGUGGAUGCAACCACCAAUUUUUUCUUUUCCUUUUGCUAAUAUAUAUGUAACAAAGGAUCGAGUUAAUUGGUUCAAGACAAUUCUCACCUUACCUGGUUAUGGAUACUGGUAGUGGGCUAUAUGUGGCUUCAAUCUGAAAGAUUGAUUAGACAUUGAUCCGGCAUUGUUUGAGCUAAACCGUGGAAGUUCAGGUGGGGUUUGCUAUUGAUUCACUCAUUGGACCGAUAAUUCAGGUUCCUGCUGCAUAAAAAGUUUGAAAGCUGAGAUAAUCAAGCAUGUUGUUAUACAAAAUGGCUGGCAUCUUGUAGAGGCAGAGAAUUCAAAGAAAAUUCCAAAUGACUUCUGCUUUUGGGUCACAUCAACUGGCAUUAAUGAUUCAAAAUCAUCAAUGACAAUCCAUUUUGAAAGUUGGUGAUCUUGUUCUGGAGCCUAAUGCUGUGUUUUAGAAAGUUGGUGAUCCCUUAUGAAUGAAUGUUAUCUCCAGCUAUCCCAAUGCACCAAAUCUAUAAGGGGCUUUUCAGCGGGCAAAUAACCAUUUCUUGUUUGAUGUUAGCAAAUCUAUUUUGUCAUUUGUUCCUGAGAAAUGUAAUGAAUAGAUAGAUUACAAGGUUGUCAAACAGAAUAAUUAGAGUUAUCUGCAUGAACAUAUAUAAGAUAUGUAUGACAAAAUUCCAGACGCUAACUCUUAGACUACAAUAUUUUGGUAAAAUUCUUGGACAAUGAGAGGGGCAAUUUAAUAAAUUAAAUAUUAAUUAAAUUAAACAUACUUACAAAUAUAUUUAUAUAGAUGUAUUUCAUUAUUAAAAUUAUAAUUCAUAAAACACAUCAUUUACACAGUUACGUGCCAUUAAAAUUCUCGUUCGUCUCAACUAUACAACAAUACUGUUGUCAUCAUCAUCUUAUGAAUUUUUGUUUUACUGUCAAAUAAUGAUUGAAAUUUUGACCAACCUAUCUUCUUGUCGCUGUUGGUGUACCGUCACCACAGUUUUCUACUUUUCUUGAUUGGUGAACUUAAACGUAACGGGGGCAAAGUGGGGUGUAAUAUGUAGAUUCAAGAGAGCUUAAUGGUUAAGGAUUAGACGUGAGGACUACUAAAUUUCAAAAAGAAAAAGGGGGGAAAAAUGUGCACUAGUAUGAUUAAAAGGAAAUUAAAGAGGGUGGACCAGUCGUAAGUAAGGCAUAUGAACAGAAGAAAUAAAAAAAAAAAAACCCUCAACGGUGUUUUAUAAUGGGUUAAUUAAACUUGGGUGACAUAUAUUCUGACAAAUUUCAAAACGUGAUAUAUGUUUUAAAAAUAUUUUAUCAACUGACAAUCAGUUAAUUUUUAUAGUUAAUUCAAACGGACUAAUAGUAAAUAUAUUUAUUUUAGGGUUAAUUACACUCGGAUGACACACAUUUUGAUAAAUUUCAAAAUAAUUACACAUGUUUUAAAAAUACUUGAUUAGAUAACAACUCAUUAACUUUUAUGAUAAUUCUAAUGGACCACAAGUAAAAUUUUAAAAAAUAGAUUUAUUUAAUUUAAUUUUUUUUUCAUUUUCCUCUCUCCCCUUCUUCCUUCCUCUUCUCCAGUUUUUUCUCCUUUCUUCAUCUUCUUCAGUUCAUUUUUUUUCUCCUUUUUUUGUCUUUUUCAGUUAGUCGUUUUUUUUUUCUUUUUUUUGUCCUCUUUCUCUCCUUCUUUCUUUGUCUUCUCUAACUGUCAUCUUCUCCACGGCCACAACAUGAUAGCAGCCGUGAUUUCCUGGAGCCAAAGUAGCAAAUUGAUUCAACAAGAAAAGUUUUUUAAAGAAAAAUUAGUUUGAUUUAACCAAAAAAACCCUUGUUAAUUAGACUGUACUAGAUUCAAUAUAUAUUAUUAAAAAAAGGUGAAAACAAGUGAGUAGGGGCAGAAACAUCAUUUUUUUUGUAACUAGUUGUAGGGACAAAAAUGUUAUUUUUUAAUUAAUUGACUACUUCCAUUACUUAACAGUAAAAGUUAACGGAUUGUUAUUUGAUCAAGUAUUUUUAAAACAUGGGUUCCCUUUUUCAAAUAUGUCAAAAUAAGUUUCACUGAUGAUAAUUAAUUCUAAAAUAAUAUUUUUUGUAAUUUUACCCUUAGUCCGUUAGAAUUAACGGUAAGAGUUAAUGGAUUGUAUUAUUGAGUAUUUUUUAAAUAUGUAUCUCUAUUUUAAAAUUUGUCAAAAUAUGUAUCACCCAAGUGUAAUUAACUCAACACUUAUCUUAAUUUUCUAACUUCUAAGCGAAUAUUGUCUAAAAAAGACGCCAUGUUCAUUCAAUUGAUAGAAAAUUGGUCUAGUUUCUAACUUCUAAGCGAAUAUUGUCUAAAAAAGACGCCAUGUUCAUUCAAUUGAUGGAAAAUUAGUCUAUUUUCUAACUUCUAGGAGAAUAUUGUAUAGAAAAUGCUAAUCAGGCCGAAGGCUUUGUCAUGAGUAGUCUCGAGUGUUCCGUGCCGUUUUAGUCUUCAGAAUUGAAAAUCUGCCUCAACCUCAAGACGAAUUAGCAAGAAAAGGAGUAUGACAAAAACGGCACAUCAUCUGAUGGGGCGCGUUUGUGUAUGCGCUCAAGCUGAUUAUGACUCUUUUUAGGUCAGAAAAUAUUGUAAUUUUUAAAAUAAUUAUUGUUAACUGUAUAAAUAAUCAACUAUAAAGAAAAUUAAUUAAGUAUUUGGUAAUUUUUUUUUUAAAUUAUUAUGCGUUUUGAAAGUAGUUAUGAGUGUUUAGUAAAAUCUUAGUGGUAAACUAUUGUGACAAAACAAAUUAUUAAAAUGUACAUAAUGCAGGAUAUAUUUUACUUAUACAUAUAAAAAUAUGUACAUAUAAUAUUUUUAAUUGUAUAUAGUAAUAAUUUUAACUAAAAAUAAAAUUUAUACUAUAUUUAUGAAAUUAUAUUAAAGGAUAAAAUUGGUUCUCAAAAUUAGAAUUUAAAAAUUACUUUCUCCAUGCUUUUCAAACUCAGCUGUAGGAGGAAUUAAUUUUAACAAAAAUGAUUUUGAUUUUUUUUCUACCAAACUCUAAAAUUAAUUUUUAAAUUUUUAAAACCACUUUUAAACCUUCCAAAAGCAAUCCCAAAGGGACCCUAAGUAUAAUUUGGGUCCUAGCGCACACAAGAAAUUUUGCAUAACAAGGAAUUUUUUUCCUAAUUUUUUCGCUCUAUUAAUUUUUUUUCUAAUGAAAUAAAUGAUCCAUAUUAAAUUUUGAAUUUGAUAUUAAUAACUUAACUAAUUUUUUCACUAAAUUUAAAAAUUUAUGAGAGAGAAAAAAAUAAAUAAUAAUAAUAGUAAGAAAGAAUCAUAAUCUAUAUUGCAGCAGUUAUCUCAAUGACUCAUGAGUCGUGUCGUUGUUCGUGGGUGGGUGACUUGGAUAGAGCUGGCAAAAUUUGACACGACCCGAUUACCUGACACGAACACGACACCAAUAAAUGGGUAUGGGUCGUCGAAUUUAACACGAUUAUUAAAUGGGUCGGGUUCGGGUCAACACGAUUUUUUUCCGUGUUGGGUUAGGGUUAAAAUUCUUGACCCAUUUACCCGAUUAAUGACCCGAUUAUAUUUUUUAUUUUAAAAUAAUUUACAGAUUCUUGUCAUCAAAACUCAAAUAUUAGAGAUGAUUUUUUUUUAUUCUUUAAAAGGAUGAAUAUAGACACAAUAUUUUAUUUAUAAAAUUUUAAAUACAUUUAGAGCUUUAAUAGUGUAAAUGUAUAAAAUAUUGGUAGACAUGUAUAUUUUAUAAUAUUGAUAUAUAAUAUUAUUUACAUAUAUAUAAUUAAAACCUCAAUAGUGUGUGUAAUUUUAGUAGAUAUGUAUAUUUUAUAAUAUUGAUAAAUUAUGUAUGUAUGUAUGGAUGUAUGGAUGUAUGCAUGUAAUAGCAUACAUAUGUAUGACAAAGUGUAAAUAUUUGAUGUAACUUUUGUUUAAUAUAUAGAUAUUAAGCGGGUUAUUGGGUAACCCGAUUAUUUUUUCGUGUCGGGUUUGGGUCUCAAUAUUUUGACACGAUUAUUAAAUGGGUCGGGUUUAGGUCGACCUAAAUUUGACACGACACGAACACGACCCGAUGACUCGUUUUGCAAGCUCUAGACUUGGAUUUGGCCACAUAUGUCACUGCUCGCGUCAUCGGAUUUUCUCUUUCAUUUCCCAUAAAUAAUAAUGCAAUUAGUUAAAGAGCAGUGAAGCAAAAAGCCACAAACCAAAUUUGUCAUCAAACCUAGUAAUUGCAAAUUACAGAGCUUGUACCAACCACUAAAAAUGAGCUGGUGGUGGGCUGGGGCAAUUGGCGCUGCCAAGGUAAGACUUAUAAUUAGAUCAGCUCUUUCACUUGCUGUGCUUGAAGAUUUUAUUCUUCUUAUUUCAUAUUUUUAAAAUGUCAAGUUUAAUUUUCGUUUUAAUUUACAGAAGAAAUUUGAAGAAAAUGAGCGACAACCGCAACCGCAACCUCAAGACUACCAGCACGUGGGACUCGUGAUAGGCGUUACGGGAAUUGUGGGAAACAGCCUAGCUGAGAUUUUGCCCCGACAGGAUACUCCCGGGGGCCCGUGGAAGGUCUACGGAGUGGCCCGACGCCCCAGGCCCGACUGGAACACCGAUCACCCGAUCGAGUACAUCCAAUGCGACGUUUCCGACCAGGACGACACGCAGGCCAAGCUCACAAAACUCACCGACGUCACCCACAUCUUCUACGUGACGUGGGCCAGCCGUCCCACGGAAGCCGAGAACUGCGAGGUCAACGGCGCCAUGCUACGCAACGUGCUCCGUUCCGUUAUUCCGAACGCGCCAAAUCUACGCCACGUCUGCCUCCAAACCGGAGGGAAACACUACGUGGGACCGUUCGAGUCGUUCGGCAAGAUACGGCCUCACGACACGCCCUUCACCGAAGACCUGCCAAGACUGAAUGUGACAAACUUUUAUUACACUCAAGAAGACAUAUUGUUUGAAGAAGUCGAAAAAAGAAAGGGGCCGUUGUCAUUGACUUGGUCCGUACACAGGCCUCAUAUAAUAUUUGGGUUUUCACCGUACAGUAUGAUGAAUGUUGUAGGCACUCUGUGUGUGUAUGCGGCUAUAUGUAAACAUGAAGGGGUUCCUUUACUGUUUCCAGGGAGUAAAGAUUGUUGGGAGGGCUACUCGGUUGCUUCGGACGCGGAUUUGAUUGCGGAGCAACAGAUUUGGGCGGCGGUGGAUCCGUAUGCGAGAAACGAAGCUUUUAACUGCAGCAAUGGGGAUGUUUUUAAGUGGAAGCAUUUGUGGAAAGUGUUGGCUGAGCAGUUUGAGAUUGAGAAUUAUGGGUUACCACAGGAGGGCGAGAGAGUGAGAUUGGAGGAAAUUAUGAGAGGUAAAGAAGGUGUGUGGGAGCAGAUCGUGAAAGAGAAUCAGCUGCAGCUCACAAAGUUGAGUGAGGUGGCUGUCUGGUGGUUUGCAGAUAUGAUGUUAGAUGGAGGGUUUUUGUUGUUGGAUAGUAUGAAUAAGAGCAAGGAGCACGGAUUCUUGGGCUUCAGGAAUUCUAAGAAUUCUUUCGUUAAUUGGAUUGACAAGAUGAAAACUUACAGGAUUGUGCCUUAGAGGAGUGAUAUUCUGUGGAGGUUGUAAUUGUUAUUUGGUGAGUAAAAUGGUUAUUAUGUUUCAUUUUCAUGAUUCAUGUAACUGUUUGAAAAAUCAAUGGUUUUUGGUCCGAGGUUGGAAAAUCUACAGUCUCUUCUCACAUCUGUUUUAUAAAAAUAAAAUUGGAGACUUGUUAAUUUCUGUUUCUUUGUGUUCAUCGGUUCAUCCCGGCUUUUCUUUCAUCUUCCUUGGCAUCACCAAUCACUUGUAAUAAUUGCACAACAAAACUGAGAUUUUAGAAAAAAUACUUUUGUCGGACAGGUGUACAAUUCAUCCCUCCCCCUAGCUUUCUAGCUCUAUAUUUUACAUCUCUCCUACUAUGUAUACUAAGGCCCUGAAUAAAGGAAACAAAUAAUGGAGACAUGUCGUCCCAUGCUUGAAAAAUGUUUCUCGUCAAAGAUAUAUAUACAUCAUUGAUCGUUGAUAUAAACUCUCAGUUGUGUGUGGCGUGCAUAAUUAUUUAAUUACACGAAUCUAGCUAUUCAAUUGCAUAACCGAAUGAUCAUCAAUAAGGCAGAAUCAAGCUUUUGUGGUGUUCUUGUGACAAAAUAUUCUGCUUUUUUCGUUUAAGAAGAUGACAAAAUAUAGAAUACGUAGUGUAACUUGUUAAGUACUUGAAAAUACAGAGCUUAAUGAGACAGAUACUGGGGUUAUAAUAUAUUGGGGUUAUAAUACUUUACCGCCAGCAGGUCCUCAAAAUCAAGAAAGUACUUGAAACAUGGGAUAUGUCGGAUGUUUAACGUUGCAAUCACAUAGUGUGUCAGUUAUUCACGCAUAUCCUCAAUUUGAUAGUGUCUGUCAAAGAGAUCUAUUUAUGGCUAUGCUUUGGUUAAUGAAAAAACUAAUGUAUCCCACAUCGAAGCGAUACAAAAAGGCAGCCAUGACAAAAGAUAUAAAUAAUGAGCGCCAAGCAACUGAAGGACAUACUUACCUGGACGGGGUCAAUGGGCGAUCAUGAAGGCCCAUGGCCUAGGUUGGUGGCCUCCAUUGCACUUGGGAGGUGCACCCGCCUAAGGUCAACCCAAAGUGGUUGAGCCUACGUCAUAAUUUGUGGCAGUGGGGGCCUGCGUUCGCGCGUAUCUUAUUUUACUUACCUAAUAAGAUCCUAAUUAAGGUUUAUUUUAUUAUUUAAAAAUUAAAAAAAAAACUGAAUAAUUAUAUUUGCUCACCUAAACGUUAGGCCCCAUCUUAACAUGUAGUUCCACUAAAAAAUUAGUUUUUCUUUAUUUUCUUGUUUAAGGUGUAGGAUUUUAAUAUUUUUUAAUUAUUCAACUUUAAAUCUUGAUCGAACUUAGACCGGAGAUUUAGUUAAGGAUUAUUCUCUAUUUUGAAAGUUAAAUUUCCAUCAAAUAAGGUUGUUUGAUGAUUUCUACUUAAAAAAAAAAAUUCAAGGUAAUUAAAAAUUAUUAUGCUGAAAAUCUGUUAACGGUUUAUAUAUGAAAAAAAUUAAUCAUACAUAUUUAUGAUAAAAUUUUCAACCAAUCUCAUGUUAACUUCUUUUAAAUAAAAACUUUGCCUAAGACCUAAAAUUUCAUUGUGCCGACCUAAACCAUAGUUUAGGAUGGAUGGAUUUUGUUGACUUUUUUACCAUCUGACAGGUACAAUAUGAGUGCCUUAACUGACUUGGAUCCUUAUUAUCCUACUACGUGUAUGGCUUAAAUUGACUAUAAAGAAAAUGAGGCUGGAAAUGUAUUUAAUAUUCUAAAAGCUUGUCCGAAAUUGGCUACAAAUAAAAUAAGAGCAGAAAUGUAGUUUUUUUUUUUUUAAGUCGAGCAGAAAUGUAGUUAAUAUUCUGAAGUUGGUAGCUGAUUACAAUUUUAAUUAAUCAUUGUUCUCUUGAUCAUCAUUAUUUCUCUCACCCAAUGGAGAAAGACUGUAUAAUCGGGUCGAUUUAGGUGAUGCCGGGGUUUAGAAAAAAUAUUACAUAUUUUAUCUCAAAUGAUGUGUCAUUUAUUAAGUAGUUGAUAAUUCUUUAUAAUCCAAUUGAAUUAAUUGUAUUAUCUCACCAAUAAAUUAAUGAAUAUUACAUCAAUUGUGAUAAUUUUUGGCAUAAAAAAUUUAAAAUAUAUAACAUUAUUCUUUUAUGCGGAGAUGGAAGCUUGCAAUUUAUCAUGUUCCAAUCUUGAAGACCAUGGAAGAAAGUUGACAAAGAUUGAAAAAAAAUUGUCACUUUCUACCCAAAAAAUAAUUUUAAGAUUUGUUUAAAUGAUCAUACAAUACUUAGUUUCAUAAAUGGAUACAUAAAUAUUUUUUUAUUAUUAUAGUAUUAUACCUUUUUGCAACUAUACCCAAAUUUGGUAUAGAAAUACAAAAUGUCAUUUUCUAUGGGUAGGCAUUCGAGGAUCGCAAAAAAACGAUGCCGACCACCUAAAAAAUAUAGGUACGAAAACUAUAUUUAUUAGAAAACUAUAUUUAAUUAUUUUUAUUAUGCAUUUUAAUCUUUGUAUAUAGUAUAUUGGCUUUUCAGUUCAACCACUCUUAAGGAUUUCUUUGAGAUUGAGGAUGAACGUUGUAUCCUAUAAGUAGCUUAUUUUAUAAGUUCUGAAAAAACCUAUAAAAUUCAUCUUUUCGAGCCCAAAAGUCAAAACAUGGCGACAUAUGUGUUGUUGAAUCGUGGAGUGAAAAAACCUAUCAAAAUCAUCUUUUCGAGAUAAAAAGCCAGACAAAUACCGAGGGCGGAACUAAGACUUUAAUUUAACAGGAGUCAUAAUAGAGGAUUUAAAAAAUUGAUUAGGUUGUCGCAUAAAAUUUAUAAAAUUGAAGAGGCAUUAAAAUGGAGAUUAUAAUAGUUAAAUUUAAAUCAUAAAAUUUAGUAUACCAUAAAAAAGGUCUAAGAUAUAUAUUUUUUUAAACAUGCAUGCAUGCAUGCUUCCGCCACAGUCAUACCCUAACGCAAACUUAAGACCGGUCUUAACAACGCCAAGUUUUUAAAGGGAGAUGGAGGAAAGAAAGAAAUACUCACUUGAUUCGAGUGCCCUCAAUGCCCCCUUAGACUUGACUCAUGAAUCAGUAGUUACUAGUGAUCACGUGGAAAUUGUCAACUUGCUGGGCUAAUUAUGCAAUAAUCGCUACGUGUUGUUAUAAACUUAUAGUUAGCGCAAAUAUGUUGUUGUUUUAGUUAACAAAUUAUUCUUAUUAAUUUUAAGAAAAAUAUUUAUAUCAGAAAUUGUUUCAUAAUUUGAAUUGGUCAUCAACUAGCAAAUAAUUAAGAGCCAUCAAUAUUUGAAAUGGUGGGAUGCUAAUAGCAAUAAAUCCGAGCACGAUUAAUACCAAAAAGUAAAACACGGCGCCUUAUUUCAAAGUUUCAAUGAUUUUUUUUUUUAUAAAAAAAAGCACAUAACACGAUGGUCAACCAUACCAGGAAGAAAUAUCAGUUAUCUCAGAUUAUUAUAAUAAAAUCAGAAAGGUCGUUGCCCAGCAGGGCGAAGUGGCCCACCGAACACUGGCCCGCAGCAGGUCAGCUCCAUCGAAGGAUAAAGACCAGAGUAUCAAAAUGAAGUGACAGCCCGAGAUUUCAUUUAGUCAUAUCCUAAUCACGAUCAAGGAGACAAUUAAAUAAAAUUGAGUGGCGUACGUAUAAAUUAUAGAUUCAAGAGAGCUUAAUGGUUAAGGAUUAGAAAGUGCGGACUAGUACGCAAAGGCAAAUGAAAAGAAGAAACUGAGAAGAAACAUCAACGUCGAUGUAAAAUUAUGUAUUAAUUGUAGUAGAUGGCUUAUCUUUUUUUUUUUUUCUCUCCCCCCACCCCCUCCUAAAGUCGGAAAACGCCAACAUUAUGCAUGGUUUGCUCAUGGACUCCAUGUAUCUUUCAUGUUUUGUUUAAGAAUGAAGCUCAAAUGAGGGCACUUGACUGAGUAUGACAAGUUAUUUACGAGAUAAUCGAGAAAUUGCAAAGUCAGUAUCUUUCAUGCUGGUUAAGUAAAGAUAUUGGACGGUACGACUGCUAUUAUUUGUAAGGCCACGGUCAUGUCAGAGUUGCUACCGUGAAGCUAUAACGUAGCUGGAUCCUAUUUAUAAAUGUAAUGUGCAAAUAACAUGUUUUUAAACUUAAUAUAUUUUUAUUUAAUGUAUGAAAUUUGAAAUUUUAUUAAUUUUAGAUAUUUUUUUUAAAAAAUUAUUUAUUUUUUAUAACUUAUGUCUGAUUUAUAUAUGUUUGUAUCGGAAUAGAAAAAAUAAUUUUUUUUUUACUUUUAUUUGAAUAGAAAAAAGUCUAAAGAGAAGUAAAUAUUAUAUUUAAAAAAUAUUUGUAUAAAAUAUAUUUAUUUCUUAAGUUAUAAAAUCUAAUCUUUUUUGUUUUGGUUUGCAAGGAUAUAAAUGUCAAAGAAUUAUGUUUAAGUUUUUUUAUUUAUAAAAAUAAAAAGAUGUCGCUUAUAUUUAGUAUUAAAAAAAACAUAUCAUUUAAAUAUUCAUAUUUAAAUUCAUUCAGACAUUAGAAAAAUUCAGAGACAUUUAGAUUUCAGAUAAAAAAACAAACACUACCUUAAAUAAGGAAUGGUAGAAACCCCUAUAGGGAUGGUGCCUUGGGAAUUUUUCACAUUUGAGGAGGGUAUGAAGAUAAUUUGAUACUCAAUUUCUUAUUCAGAGAAGGAAUGAAGAUAAUUUUUUUUAUAUCUAAUUUCAUAUCCAGGGAAGGGUCCACCCUUUCCUAUUUCCCCAUUUCCUAUUCUAAUUUUUAAUUUUUAAUUUAUUUUCCUAGAAUUAAUAGUGAAUAAAUACUAAAUUUUAAAUUGUAAAAUAUUAGAUAUUAGUGUAAGUAACAAAUAUGAAAAUGCUUAUACAAAUACUAUAAAUAUUAGUUAAUACAAAAAAUUUAUUGUAAUUUAGACUUAACUAUAGCCCAAAAUCAGUAAUCGCACAUGCCUACAAUUCACAAAUCAAAUUCUAAGUCACUCUCUCACAACAUUACACAUCCCUGCCAAAUUAUUUGUGCCAUAACUAGUAUCCAGCUUGUCAUCAUCUCAUCAUAGGUCACUAGUACAUUGCAUUGUUGGUGGCCGAGUAGUCUAACUCAUCGCGACGUCAACUCGUAGCCCCACACGUGGCUUCAUUGCGCUAUAAUCGACCAAGAGAUAUCAUUACUCAUGGACAACACUCACGUCAAUAUUGUAAAAGAAUCACAUUAUUUGAAUUUUGUUUUCAAAAUCAUUAUUUGAGUAUUGUAUAUACCAAAAGUUUGAUGGAGUAGAAUGAAAUAUGACAUGUUUAUGAUCAUUCUCAUUUUAUUUUAUAUGAUUAAAUUAAGUGUAAUAUGACCUAUUUAGAUUAAUAUGAUUAAAUUAAGUGUAAAAACUAAAAAAAUAUCAGUUAUUUGGGGAUUAUGGACCCUUAGAGAUCUCUUGUUAUUUUUUAGAGAGGGGAUGGAGAUCCCUCAAGCAAUUUUGAUGGGAACAAGAACCUAAGUAGAAUAUUAAGAAUGGGUACAGAGAUUACGAUCUCCUCUUUUCGUCUCUCCAUUACCAUUUAAGGUUUAAACAAUGAAGGAAGCAUGCCAUUUUUAUCAUGAUUAUGUAAGUACGCGUGUCACACGUGCAAUCAAGCUUUGGAAAAUCAAUUGCUUUGGUUUGAUGUUGGAAAGCCUUCGUUCUACCAUCUCUUUUGUUUCAGAGACUUCUAAUGAGCAAAAAUUACGUGGAAACCCUUGUACUACCCAAAUAGAAGUCAUGUUUGUUGGUUAGAUUUCCAGCUAUGUAUUGCAUUUUACGUCACUCUCAAACUUCAAUAAAAUUGAGUCAAGUUGAUGAAAAGGUGAACAAAAGAAUGUAAAACAAAAUGUAAAUUCAAAUUUCUCGGUUUUCGCUUCAUAUAUGCAUUAAAAAUAGAACACUUCUAUGUUCAUUGUAUGUUAAUAUUUGCAACCAAUCACUCUGUCAAAAUUAAACGACUCUUGAUAUAUAUUAAUAUUAUUCGAAGAAUUUGAGUUUCUCUGCUGCAAACGAUAUGUUUGGCAAAUCUAGGACUAGAGUGCUCUAUUUAUAUUUAUUUUUGGGAUGAUUUAUAACAAGAGAUUUCUUAUAUAUAUUUUAGCUUUCCUUUUGUUAUUGUAGUUGUCUAACUAUUUUGAGGGAUAAGGCUCACUAUGUCUCCCUUAAUUAGAUAUAAAUUAUUUUUGGUUUUCAAUAAAAUUACAUCGCCAGCCAAGUUUCAUUGAAAAAAAAUUAUCUAUUUAUUUAUUUUUUAAUGUUAGGAGAUCCUACAAAACUUAAAUCGAUUUAUUUAACCUCAUAUCUCUCCAAACUGUUUGAAAACUACUUGGUCAAAUGCAGGACUUUAAUUCUAACAUAUCUUGAUAGGUCAUGGAUAUAUUAGAGUGGUUCUAAGGAAAAACACAAGUCACAUCUUGGUAGUGUCGUACUGUCGUUAGGGUGCACCAAAUUUAAAACCUUACUACUAAUAUAAAUAAUUAGUACAGAACGAGUAAGGAUCGAUCCCACAGAGACUAUACUAGUUAUAUUUAUUAUCAACUCUAAAGCAAGACUUAAAAUAAAAUAAUAAUAGAAGUAAUUAAUAUAAAUUAAUCUAACGAAAGAAAAUGCCAAUUAAAAAGGGGAGUUUUUGAAUUUUUAACUAAAUAGCAAGAAAUAAAGAAAUUAAACUAUGAAAACAAAAAUUUAAUAAAAACUCUAAUUAAAGAAGAAAGAAAUAAUAAUGAUGAAAACUUUGGUUAAAGGAUUAUUCACCACCACCAAACAUGCACAUAAUAUAUCAAUUUUAUCAUCAAUUUAUAUUGAAACUAUCAACCGUAGACAACAACAAACUUUGUUAGUUUCAAUCUUUCUUUAGUGUGUCGUUAGGCAAAACAAGCUCUUCACCUAAUCUCUAACCAUUAAAUAAUUUAAAACAAACUCUUUAAAUUUAAGAGACUGGAAGCAUUAAGUAGAGAAAUAUAUUAGGUUGAUCUAGACAAUAAACACACAAGCUCGGAUUAUUUAACCUAGGUUAUGUUCUCCAAUUGAAAUCACUGAUUCCAACCUGCUACUUAAUCUCAAGACAAUUACGGAUCAAGAAUUUUAAUCUAACAAUAGAAUUUAUUCAAGUCCUAUCUAAUUGGCCACUCAAACAAGACGAGAAUAAAAUCAUAAACAUUAAUUAUAGAAGAACAUAAACAAUCUCAAUUAAAUAAAUUGAAUGAUAUAAAUUAAAAAUUAAUCAUAUGACAUGUUUGGGGUUUUGAAUUCACCAUCAACUAAAUAGAAAAUCUAGCCUAACAUAAUUAAAUUGGGAAUAAAAGAAUUGAUAAAACCAAUCACGGAGAUUAAUUUAAGCGGCUGCCUUUUUCUUCAAUUCCCUUCGGCUGGUGAUUUUUUUUUCUCCUUUGCGACUGCCAAUCUAUCUAUAUAUAUUAAGUUGGGACUUGAGGAGGUGAUGUGGCAUCACCAUUUCUCAUAUUUGUAUAUUCUCUAUUAUCUAAUAAAUAGAGAAAUUUUCUUUUAGAUUUGGCUUUUCAUCUACUCAUAAUUAAUUUGAUUGUUAUUACACAAUAACAAUUAUGUAAAGAUUUUAAUGAGGCAUAUUAUUUGUAGUGAACAUCCAAGGGGGGGUGUUAUGAAUUUAUUAAAAUAAAUGUAGAUGUUCAUAACAUAUAUCUCUUAGUCUCUCCACUAUCUCCCAUUAGCAACCUUUAGCUUUCCUAUAACUCCCACUAUCUCACAAGAAAUUAUGUUCCAUAAUUUUUCAUUAAUUUUAUGGAGUGAUUAUGUAACUAUAAAAGGAGAGCUCAUCUUUUUGUUUUGUACACACACAAUUGAAAUGAAUAAAAUUACUCUAUAAUAUAUUCUCUCAUUUUAUUCUUUAUCUUGCGUUGCUUCUUUAUUUGUAUUGUUGGCUAAUAGCUUUUUUUUGUUUUUUAUAAGGCUAAAAAAAAUCAAUUUAAAUUUUUUAUCAGUUUUAUCAAGUGUAAAGUAAGAAAAAAAGAUAAUACUAAAUUCUUUUUUCAAAGCCACGUGAAGCGCGGUUAUAUUUUCUAGUUGUUUUGCAUGUGUGGCUGCCGAAUAUAUAUUCCCCCUCGUGUUGCUUCCACUUGGCCCUUAUAUAAUGCUUCAAUUGUGGCUUUUAAAUCCUUGCAUGGAAAGAAUUAAAUCAAAGCAAAAACCGCCACUUUCAUAACGUGCUUGCCAUUUAAAUUGUCAUGCAAAACAUUUAAAUUACAUGCAAAAUAUUUCCAAUUAGAGCAUUCACAAACUCUUUUGAUUGGCCAUGCUUAAAGCCAAAAGGCUUUAUUCUUUUCUUCCUCUCACGUGCUGGAUGGCAAUCUCCUUUUUCCAAUUUUAGCUCCAUGCGAUGGCUUAGCUUGUAAUUGGCUUGGCUUCCUUUAGCUCCAUGUGUAAAAUUAAUUUUGCUUGGCCCGUACAAGCUCUAAUUGGAAAAUAUUCUUUAUUUCUCCAAUUCUUGAUCUCUUGUGCACUUUUGUCUCCCAAUCUUCAAUUCUUUUCUUAUUUUGAUUCUCUCAAUCAGAUUUCUUUCAUGAAUGCUCCGAUUUAAUAUCUCUUUAAUAUCAAAAAAUACUUAAAAUAACAAAAUAAAAAAACUAAGAUAAAAAAUAACACAAUAAAAAUAUAAUUUACUAAAUAAAAAAUUAACUAAAAUAACUAUAAUAUUUAAGACCAAAACAAGAAAAAGAUGGAGAAAUUAAUAGCAAAAUAUAUGAAAAAUAUGCACUUAUCACAUCUACACAUGUAAAGUGAUAAAUAGUAAAAAGUAUGUUAUAACUUUAAUCGUAUGAUUAUGAAGGAGUGUUCCACCGUGAAGCAGUUCCAACAUAGCCGGACUCAUCUUGAUAAUAUAAUAUGAGUAAUAAAUUGACACUUACUUGGCAAUUAAGUUAAUUAUUAAAAGAUGUCACACGAUUAGCAUUUAGAUAAUUGAUAAACCACAAAGUUAAAUAACACUAUAAACAUCAUAAUUAAUGACAUGUGUAACAAUGAUUUGAGACAAACUAUAUAAACCCCAGUUUCGUAAAUGUAAUACAAUAAAUUAUUAUUGUAUAUUAUAUUUCGAAUUCAUCCGUUACACCGUAAGAUUGAAUUAAUAAAUAUCAAAUAAAUUAAUGGUCAAUUAGCAUCAUUUUCAUCCGAUUAAACUUUCAUAAAAUAACAAUGAACAAAACCAUCCAAUAACUCAUAAAUAAUAAAUCAUAAUUAACUAUCUUAAACAAAUUCCUUAACAAUUACAACUACCGUCUUCAUUAUGUAAACAACAUCGGAGUAAAAGUAAAGCAGCACAGAAAACUCUAUGACGAGGUGGCAACUGGCAUCCAAGAUGACCACGGAGGUGGUGGGCCGAGAUCAGUUGGAUCAGGAGGUCCAGGUGGGCCCAUUGGACCACGAAAGCAGCCUUGUAGCAACCAGCAGCAGCACAGAAAGCUCAAGCUGUCAUAACAAACCCAACGACAAGCAACCGAACACCAGUAUUAGCUUUUUCCGCCAAGAAUUUUUUUUUGUCAACGUGUCAAUUUUUUCGUGAUUGUUCAGCUGCAUCUUAAGUUCCCAUUUUGACACGUGUCACUGUAUCUUUACACUACAUCAUGUAUCAACGAUGUUUACUUGGUGCACUUCAACAAUGAAUGGGACUAACAGAACAGCACAUGGAGAAUUUUGAUUUUUGAAAACCUCAACAUCUAAAUUCGAUGUUUAAUUACUUUCCAUGAACCGAUAACUUCACAAAAGCCACCGAAAGAGUCCAGCAGUCCAAGUAGUGGUGGACCCCACACAGGUGGCCCUCCAGGUCCUCCCGGUCCCAUUGCUAUUUGCUGAUUACUGUUGCCGGCUCUUUAAGCAAAGUUAGUUAACACCAAGGAAAUUAACAAGAGACUUUCAGAAGUCCAAACUCGCUCUUGCUUGUGUAUAUAGAGAUGCAAAAUGUUUUUAUGUUAAAUGAAAGUGGUACAAAUGCCAGAAGGUUUCUUGUGUUUAUAGAAAGUGCAAGCUUAGGAUUUAAGCAUCCAUCUUUGUUGCCACAUUUGCAUCUAAUACUUUCCAACUGCUAGUCUUCUAUGUCUAACAUUCAAGACCCUGCUCAAGAAUGAUAGCAAUUACCAAUCACACGCUCAUUCAAUAAUUCAAGUGAUAAUCUCUUAAGUUAAAACCCAUUUAAUAAUCUAUGGAGGAUUUGUGCCCACAAAUGUGACCGAAUGGUUUUUAAAUAAUUUUAUUUAAUUAGCUACCCAACUUCAAAUCUUAAGAGAAAUAAGGGAUUUAAACAAAAUGAAUUUGAUCAAAAUGAAUAUGGACUUUGCUCACUGCAGUGAAAAAAAAUAAAAUUACAGAAGAUUGAUCGACAGGAGUCUUAAGUGAUAAGCAAUUAGAUCAUAUUUUACUUUCCAGAAGAUGACAUGUCUCAAAGAGGUUUAAGCCAAGAAAUUCCCAAAACGCAAUAAUAGAUGAACAAGUGUGAUUAGAAAGUGCCACCAAGAAAUGAAAAGAAUACUAUAACUAAUAAAUCUAUAAAUCUCAUUUCCAUGAUGACAUUAUAGCAGUGGGUUACCAACCCCAAUUGAAUUAUAUAUAUAUAUUUACUCGAAAAUUAGGUUAGAGGGUAAACUGAUUACACAAAUUCUAUAGAAAAAUGGCCAAAAAGGCUGCCUUUUGCCUCUGUAUAUGUGAGCUAACUUCUAACUAGUAUUCUCUUCCAGAUAAUUCAUCCAUAUACAACUCUGCAAAUCACAAGAAUCCUUCACGAAAUGGCCGCCAAUCCAAUAGAUUUCCCCUCUUCAGUUUCUGUUUUCUGGGGCAUUAUCUGAGCUGCGUGGUCUUGCUGAAAAGAGAAUGCAACAGACUAGUAAGUAGACUACAUUUGAAGAAUUGCAGAUUCGCUUGAAUUGAAAAUAAAAAUUAAGGCAUUUAUUAAAAUGGCUUCUAGAACAGCUUAAGGGGUAGUAUGGGCAGAUUAGUAAAAGGAUGGAAGAAAAAUUAUGCAAGAAUGCUUACUUGAAACAUUUGUGAUAACAUUAACACUUUUCUGAGCAGCAAGAGCUUUCAACUUGUUCCCACUACCUAGUACAAGCAAGCUCCUCAUAUGUUGCUUUUGUUCCCUAGGACUAGCUGUCUUUGUUGUUUGGAUAUUCUCACUUCCUAUCUUUUGAAAAAGGGGAAAAAGAAAACUUGCUUAGCGACGCUUAAUUACUGCUGUUAAUAUUCUGGCCAUUUAACAAACUUAUGCCCAUCGUUUGGAAAACCAAAAAAAUACAAUUAUUUUUCCAAGAAUAUAAGCAUGAAGAAAACUGAAACUAAGAAUGAAAUCUGAGAGGUUCAAAAGGCAUAUAUAUGAAUUAAAAUGAAGUUGAUUAUAAUAAGGGCUAAUAUCAUCAUUUGCAAAGCAAAAAAACCAAAAUAAGAAGCUAGUUUAGAGUUUCUUAUCAGCUAGCUCUAAAGAAAGACAAGUGCAGAAAAUUAAAGAUGUUUUUUUAAACCUCUCUAAUCUUAAACAUAAGUAGUUGAGGUGCCGAAUGCAUGGAUGGAUCCAGUACCGUAAGUAACAAGGCAGCUUCUUCUAAUUAAGCAUAUCGUCCCGUCUGGUUAUUUCCGUUUGCCAGAACGCAACCUCACCCAUGAUCACAUAAUUAUCCACCAACAAAACAAUCGUUGCCAAGGUCAUAAUCAAGCCAUCAUCAGACAGCCCGUGCUCUCCACGGACGGCAGCAGCUAUAACCUCGUGAUAAAUCCAUAACAUUUUCCAUCCAGAAACGAUGUGCGGGACCCAAAUCUGCACUACGAAAAGCACCACGAAAGAAGUUGAGCAACAAAGGUACGUAAAUCGAGAGAAGAAAAUAAUACACAUUGAUGCUUAAAGAG
This 48550-nucleotide long non-coding RNA is filed under the name Citrus sinensis (sweet orange). RNAcentral describes it as "long non-coding RNA (CSIN_LNC001312)". The stretch from base 37690 to 37851 matches the Rfam family "U1 spliceosomal RNA". Lineage: Eukaryota; Viridiplantae; Streptophyta; Magnoliopsida; Sapindales; Rutaceae. The record is from RNAcentral.